GGGGGGGGGGGGGGGGGGGUGAUGUCACAACUAGCAUUUUUAGCUAGGAAGUUAUGUCCUAAUGUAAACAUCAAUUAUUGCAAGACUUGUAAUCUAAGUGGAUAUCAUACUCUAUGCUCAAUCAGAAUCAUCCAUUUAAAUCAAUACUCCUGAGUGAAGUUCAAUACCUAAUACAAUGCAUCUCGUAUACUUAACUAUUGGUCUGAAAACCUAAAAAUCCAGGUUCAAAUUUAUUAUGGACUAGGAUCCUCUUAUUGGGCCUAAUGGGCUAGUAAACCAUCUAUUUGAUGAUUUUGGACCAAUGAAAUCCAUUUGGGCUCUAGUUGGGCCUACAUUUGUCAAACCAUAGCCAUUGGGCCAUGUUGGGCCUAAAAUAACUCACUUAUUUAUCAUGGGCCAUGAUGGGUCGUGAACCAUUCUAAUGAACCAUGAUGGGUCGUGAACCCAUCUUCUCAUGGUAAUUAGGCCGUAAACCCCAUCCCUUUACCACCUUUGGUCCGUGAACCCUCAAGAAGGGCCCAAUGGGCCGAAAAUUCUCAACUUGGGCCUCGUAAUCUCAAAUAUAAGCUAGUAUGUCCCAAAAUUUUCCCCUUAUCUUUUCUUCUCCCUCAUUCUCAGCCCAACGUUUAUAAAAAAAUAAAAAAAUAACAAGAUGAUAAUUAAGUGUUGCCACCUAAUUGUUGUUCAAAGGAUAAUUAAGCAAAUUACACACCAUGUCUCUAGAAAAUCUCAUGUUUCCAUGCAAUAAUCUUGUCAUCUCUCUCUUCCCUCCCUUUUCUUCUUACUGUCGGCCCAAACAACCCACCACUACCCUCAUUUUACUCUCAAAUCCACUCAAACAUUUCUCUAUAAGAACACUCAAAGAAACCUCCUCUAUUCUUCUUAGAAUUCGUGUGUACUUAGGUGUGUCUCAAAGAAAAUCUCUUCAAGCUUCAUACUAAGGUAAGAUCAUGUAAACUCAAAGUGAUUUAUUUCAUUUUAUGGUAGAUCCAUCCUCAUAAGCACAUGUAUUCAUGAUCAUGCUCUUAAAACUUCUUAGAAUUCGAAGAUCUCCUCUCAAGAAGACUUUUAGGGCGAGAUCCUUCUCAACCUUCAUCCAAGACCGAAAACAACAACCCAAAGUGAGUUCAUACCCCUUAUUUUCGGUUUUUAUUUUGUUUUGGGGAGAAUACAAGUUGUUUUGUGUGGAUCUAUGUAUGUAUGCAUGAUUUUUGUAUGUUUUUCAUGUUAUAUAUGUGAUUAUGUGUUUUAAACUCCAUGAACUUAAAGAUCUACUAAAAGAUGAUGCUAUUUGUAGAACAUAACACUCAUUUUAACUUAUCUUACCAAGAAAUGGUCUUAAAAUACAUACAAGCUACUUAAAACCAAGAAAACUGCAUAAGAGGGCCGAAAGUGACAAAAUGACCGAAAAUGGGUAUAUUUGUGUAACUCACGGUUAGUAGGGGUCAAAAGGGUUAUUUUUGCUAAACAUGGCUAUUUACGACAUAUGAGACUCCACAAGGUCUAAAAAUGUAAAAAAUUUCAUAAUUGGGCCUUAAUUGGGCUUUUCACGGCUUUUGGGCCAAAUUGCAAAAUUUUGGACUUUUGUGGGCUUAAGUGUCAUCUUAACACAAAGUUGUGCCAAAAAUGUAAGUUUUCGAUAAAAAGGGAUGGAAAUGUACAUUUGUUAGAACUUGGGCCAAAAAGAUAAAAAAUAUUUACAAAUGGGCCAAGAAUGCACAUUUUCAUAAAAAUCAAGCCAAAAAUUUUAUUUUGACAAACAGGAGUUAAAAAUGUUAUUUUUACAAAAACUAGCCUUAAAUGCAAGUUUUGUUCAUAAAGGGGCCCAAAAUGUUAUUUUUUAAUCAAAAACGUGCCUUAAUUGUAAAUUUUUGGCUUAAUGGGCCAAGAAUGUCAUUUUUACAAGAAGUGGGCCUUUUAUGUAAUUUUGGUAAAUAAUUGAGCUAAAACAAGCAAUAUAAUAACAAACGGGCUAAUUACGUCAUUCUCAUGUUUAUCGGGCCUUAGUGACCCAUUUAUAUGCUUGAUAGGUCAUGUAUACUCUUUACAUGUUUAUUGGGCCUUGUUGACCCUUUUACAUGCUCGACGGACCUUGGAUACUCCUUGCGUGCUUAUUGGGCCUGUAAAUAAUAUACAUUUGAAAUGGGCCUCAGUUGUCAUUUUACAUAUAUAUUGGGCCCGAAAUAUAUAAUCUCAUUCCUUUUGAGCCUAGAAUGAUUUACAUGCUUAGUGGGCCUUAGUUGUCCACUUACAUGUUCAUUGGGUCUGGAAUGUACCUUAUAUGUUUCUCUUCGCGUAAAUUCGAUUAAGGAUCUAGUGAGACGUGUUGGUUGACACCUAUUGAGUGUACGAUAGUAGUCUGUAGUUAUAACCAGAGUCUCUUGGAGGGAGAGCGGGGUUUGUGUAUAGAUCUAUACGGGGAUGACACCCACACCUAAGUUGUUCGCUAUAGUUAGACUAAACCAGUCUAGGGUGAUGAAAACCUUACUUUAUUCCAUCGACGUCUAUAAACACCAAGACAGGCGAAAUUGUCAUUAUCUAUUAUGGUUAUAACGUCUCACUUAGAGGAAUUAACGUUAUAAAAUUUACGGGAGACCAUUCUCUUUUCUCAUUGGAUUACUCGGUAACAUACUCGCGCCAUUACUCAACCCCGGGAGUUGAUAUACCAACAUUCUCUAUCACAGACAACAUCGGGUUGUCUGGGGGCAUUCUAUUUACAUUCUCUUCAUUUUCUUUUUGCAUUCUAGUAAAAAUUAACAAACAAACAUACUAAAUUGUUUUCAGAAAAUAUAGGAUUUUCUGGUGGUUACAAAUUUAUACAAUUCAUUUUCUCAAACAUGCUUAUGAACUCACCAACAUUUUUAUGUUAACCUUUUUAAAUUAACUUGUAUUCUCAGAAAACCGUUGAGCAGGUUGGGCGGAACGAAUUAAUGGAUAUUUUGUAUAUUUUGUUUCAUCAUACUUUAACUAUAUGGGCAUGUAAUACUCAAUACACAAUACUCGAUGUAAACAAUGUAUGUUGUUAUAUUACAUGUGUGAUGAUGAUGAUGUUAUUUUUAAGAAUAAAACCCUAAUUGAGAUUUGAUGAACAAGAUGCGGAAAAUAAGAGCAAACAAAAAUAUGAAGAUUAUGUCUAAUGAACACUUGAUUUAUUGAAUUAUGAGGAACAAAUUACACUUUAAGAAUAAGAAUCUAACUCUACAAGAAACCUCACAACGUGGCGGCAACAUUUUGCCUCACUCUUUACCCUAGUUAUGAAUAAUACAUGACUAUUUAUAGGGAAAAGACAAGUUUUGGGAUUUUAACCUACGCUUCAUCAAGGGGGCCCAUUUCCAUAAUCCAUGGGGUACUUUGAAACCCUAGAAUCUCCCCCUCAAAGUAUGGAAUGGAUGACAAGGCUUCAACAUCCAAAACAAGCGUCUAGCAAAUAAGAAAUGAUCUCGCAACGAGGAAUAUUUGAAGUAAUCCACAAAUCUUGAUUCUUCAAUAGUCUUCAAAAACGGGUUCUAGGAUAUGUGAACCAAGCACUGAAGUAAUGUUUUUAAACUUCAUUUUCUGAUGUAAUCCCAAAGAUCUUCAAUAAAGCCAAACCCGCCAUAAAAACUCAUUUCAGAACAAAGAAACCAAAUCACUUCUUGUCUUUGAAGAGCUCCCCCUCUAAGUCACAAUGAUCUUCAAAUAAGCUAAUGAUAUAAGCCACCAAAAAUUAUCAUGUAACAACCCAAUUUUUAAGAUUCGUACGCCACUUGAUCGAGAAAGUACUAGAAGUCGGAGAUAUAACAAGUCCUUAUAAGAGAUCGAUGAAGAACUGCUACUGUGAAAGAUACUUCUCUGCAAAAGCUUUAGAAGAGCUCGAUGAAUAAAUGCUACUGAAAAAGCUACCUUCAUAAUUCUACCACAAGCUUUAUCAAAAAUCUUCAAACUUGAAAAGUCACAAAUCCAAUUUUGAAUGGCCAUACCAAAUUCUCCCCCGAUUUAUAAUAAAAAAACGUGAUUAUAAAGCCUUCAAAUGGUCAUGAGAAUGAUCUUGAAUGGAUAAAAAAUUACUAUUCUCCCCCGUGACAGAAUGAUAUAAAUGAUGAAGUAUAAAAUCCAAAAUAGUCGAAAAAAUUUGACGUUAUCACGAAAAACGACUUUCCGAACCGACAAGGCUUGAUGGAAUCCUUACUUCUAUGUUAACAAAAAAAAACAUGUGCGUUAAAAAAUCCAAAACUGUUCACCAGCCCUCAAAUUUGCAAACUUUUCGAAAAAUGGGCUGAAACUGUCACUUUGCUGAAAUUCUCGGACUGAAAAGGUAAUUUUGCAUCAAUUUCCCCCUUUAAUUGUAACAGUUACUGGAAAUGGACCAAAACUGCCAAGCUGUGAAAACAACAGGGACCAAAAUGUCAAAUCGUUGAAGUUGCAGGGACCAGUAGUGUAACAUGAGUCAUCUUCCCCAUUGAUACAAGCGAUUGACGAACACAAUGAUAUCCCCGUUUAAAAAAGACUUCGAAUCCAGGAAAUUACCAACCCCGUAUCACCCUUCGUUCCGAGCACACAUACUUGAGUCCGAAUCCGAGCACAUUCACAGAUCAAUUGCAAGACGAUACACCAUUACGAACGAUUUCAGUCUCGCUACAAAACCCGGUACAGGUUCGUUGCGAAUCAAGGCACCCCGAAUCCAUGACCUCUCGCUACGAAUCAAUCGAUUAUACCCCAAUGCGAAUCUAUGUCUACGAACGUUCGUGAAAGAAGAGUGCGAGCCCAAUUCCGAUCGUUCGUAAGUUGGCGUUCACAAUACAUCAAUUUUGACUUUUUCUAGUUGACUUGCAGGAACAUCCGCUCAAAUCACCCCAUUUCAUACGUUCGCAUGUAAGACUUUCGCACUUGUUCACCCUGAUUGACUUACGAUUCGGAUUUCAUUCAUUCGCAGGUUAGGACUUUCACAGCGAAUUUGACUUUUCAAUUUUGUCUAUUUUUCAUCCCAAUUGCUUUCCAGCUCUCGUUCACAUCAUACUUCUGAUUACAACUUAAGCCAUGAUUGCAAGACCCAUUUUAUCACGAACCAGAAGAAUGUGAAGCACCAAAUUUUAUUUUGACUUUUUGCAUAGACUACCAAAACGAGAUCCAACACAGUUCAUCCCAUCUUCAUCAUUGUUAUCUGUCCUUGAUUGUUCUUCAAAGCACACCCAAUCAAAGAUUCAUAAAUAUUGUUCUCAAACAAAUUGAUUGAAACAGAUUGGUCAUUCAAUCUAGGCCUGUCAAAUCGUGUCAUCGUGUCGUGUUUCUGUCUGACACGACACAGAAACACGACACGACACGACAAUGUUUUUUGUAACACGAACACGACACGACACGAUGUCGUGUUUUUUUUCACUAACACGAAAACGAACCAAUUAAAAAACGACAACACGACACGACACGACAAAGAUAAUAUUACAUAACUAUUAUUUUAUUUGAUUCAUAUUUAAUCAUAUAUAACACGAUAAAAACGAAAAACACGACAAACACGACAAACACAUGCUCAAUCGUGUCAAUUUCGUGUGGAUUUGUAAACACGAACACGACAUCGUGUUUUUUAUAUUUGACACGAACACGACACGAAAACGAAUUCGAAUUUUGAUUUCGUCCCAAUUUCGUUUCGUGUCGUGUAUUUUUGUCGUGUCGUGUCAUAAAUUGACACCCCUAAUUCAAUCACAAGAUCAUACAAAAAAAAAUCAAGAUUGAUCGAAUAUUGAUUACAGAAUGAAUCGAACACAAGAAACACUCUAUAAUACAGACACUAUUAUCGAGAAGAUUAAUUCAAUGAAAAGAUUGUAAUCAAACCAAUGGAAAACACAUGAUUUUGAAUUGAUUAGAAUACAAGAACACUUAAUCGUCAAAUAGAUGAACACAUCGUUUUAAUAAUGAAUUUUGAUUUGAGGACCAAAUUUUGCGACAUCGACAGCAAUAUAUAUCAAAAAUGAUGAACAAUGGACGAAAAAUGUGAGCUCAAGAAUGAACAGUAAACGACACUAGUUAGGCUCAGGAACAAUAUGGAAUUGAAUUAAUGGAUUAAAACAAAAGAAACAAAUCCAUCCACAACAAACAAAUGAUCCAAUCCAAUCAAAAAUAUGAACUUAAGAACGAAUGGGAUUAAAAAAAAUACCAGAUGAACAGAAUACAUAAGUAUCCAUGAAUAGUUGCUUGAACAAAAAGCUUGAUUCCAAGACGCCAAAACAUCCAAAAUCUUCAAUAACUUGUGCAGAAAAUCAUCAAACCAAGAAUCGAUACUUAAACAAUCAAUAGAUCUUCAAAGACCCACUCUGAUACCACUUGUUGGGAAUAAAACCCUAAUUGAGAUUUGAUGAAUAAGAUGCGGAAAAUAAGAACAAACACAAAUAUGAAGAUUAUGUCGAAUGAUCACUCGAUUUAUUGAAUUAUGAGGAACAAAUUACACUUUAAGAAUAAGGAUCUAACUCUACAAGAAACCUCACAAUGUGGCGGCUACAUUUUGUCUCACUCUUUACCCUAAUUAUGAAUAAUACAUGACUAUUUAUAGGGAAAAGACAAGUCUUGGGCUUUUAACCUACACUUCAUCAAGGGGGCCCAUUUCCAUAAUCCAUGGAGUACUAUGAAACCCUAAAGUUAUGUUUCAAUUAUAUACUAUGUGAUGGUACUAUAAAGAUGAAAGUCACACCAAGCCCCCAGACGUUUCCACCGUCUAGUUCGGAGGUGUGACAGUACUCAAGACCAUUUAGUUGAUUCAGUAGGUGCGUGAUAGGUUGCGUAUCGUGCAGAGCAGGCAUAAAAAUUUACACUGACCAACGCCAAUCUGACCUUGAGUUUCAGAUGAGAGAUCUUGUGCUCCUAAAGGUUUCACCUUGGAAAGAUGUCAUCCGGUUUUGAAAGCGGGGAAAGUUAGGCCCCAUAUUUAUUGGUUCAUUCAGAUUUAUCGCUUGGGUGGGCAAGGUUACGUAUCGAUUGGAUUUACCCAUCGAGCUUUGCCAGAUUCACGACACAUUUCAUGUCUCUCAACUGCGGAAGUGUCUGACUAAUGAUUCCGAAAUGGUUCAUUUGGAUGACAUUCAGGUUGAUGAUUGCCUAAAUUAUAUAGAGAGACCGGAUGUGAUUCUAGACAGAAGGACGAAGACCUUGCGCAACAAGGUAGUAAGUUUGGUGAAGGUGCAAUGGCAUCACCAUAAAGGGUUCCAAAUGGACUUGGGAACCCAAAUAUGAUAUGAGGGAGCAUUAUCCUGAAUUAUUUGCAGCAACAGAUUUCGAGGAAGAAAUCUGAUUCAAGUGGGGGGGAGUUGUAACAACCGUUUCCUAGUAUGGUUCUUAUGAUUUUAGUUUCAUUAAUUUAGUUUGGGAUUUUGUCUAAGCCACGACGUGAUGAUGGAUUGACCACGAUAUGGCAGCCCGGUUUAGGAAAAUGCGCAUCCAUAACCAUCACGACGUGGCAAGGUCUUGGACAUGAACGUGACGACGACUAGGGUUUAAAACCCUAGGUUUCGGGAUUAGUGCCCCAUUUAAAAGCAUUAACUCCUAAGGUCGUCUCAUUUGGCAGCCUCCAUCCUCUAAAAGCGAUCCCCACCUAAACACAAGCCUCUUUAUGUGUGUUCUAAGAGUGUAAAACCAUUUUGUGAAUCUUAAGAAGAAGGAGUCAAUCUAGUGGUUUGGAAGCUUGGUUUUGGAUUGGAUCUAGCAUCUUUAUCUCAUUUCUGACCUUGUGGAGAUAUAAAGUAUCAACCUUGAUCACUGUAGCUUUAGAUCUUAUGCUAGGCCAUUUUAUGAGCUUUUAGUCCCAAUCUUCUUGUCUUUGGAGUUUGGUUAAACUCCAGAGCAUUUGAGUGCAUUAUAUAGUUCUAGACCAUGGUGUUGGUUGGAAAGUGGUCUUGCAUGACCUACGGUGGUGUCCAUGUAAUUGGUGCAACCAUUAAGAACCUAGGAUUAGAGAUCUCGACUUAUUGGAGUGUAUUAAUGGAUAAAGUUGGAAACUUUGUCCAAUAAGACCUUAAGGAGAUUUAAAUUUGAGCUUUGGAGCUCUUGGUGUAAAGGGAUACGAGCUUAAUCCAUUAAGUUGUUUAUGCCUAGUUACCAUGACGUGGUGGUUGGCCUGGUCGCGAUUGUUUUGUCGUAAUGCUCUCACGAUGUGGCCAAUGAGUGGUCACGACAUGAGGAUUGUCUGGGGUGACUUUGACCGUUGACUUUUUGACAUGGUUGACUUUUGGAUAAAUGGUUAGUGUGAGAGGUAGACUAAGGAUUAAUCUUGAAUAUUUCGAUAGGUGGGUUGUACCACCGGUUCCUUGAUUAGUUCGAGAUGUGGUUGAUCAUAUUCGAAUGUGAGGUGAGUUUUCUCACUAUACUAUGUAGAAUGUUAUAUUAUCUUCUUAUUGUUGCAUAUAUGUUGGAUUCAGCCCAUUAUGUUGGGUGGGGCCCGUUAUGUGGGCAGGGUCCGAUGUUAUGUAUGGUAUGUGGUAUUUCCGAGAACUCACUAAGCUUUGUGCUUAUUGUUUUGUGGUUUAAAUGUUUCAGGUACUUCUGGUUCCAAAGGGAAGUGCCCGACAUGAUUGCACAACAUCCCUGAAUUUUUAUUCCGCACUGUUUAUUUGAUUUACUCUGAUGUUAAGAAUAUUUAUACUUUGGUUGGUUUUGGAACAAAUGGUUGUAUCAUUUUGGGUGUUUUGAAAAUGAAAUUUUUACUAGUAUUUUUUGGGACCUUACACAUUCUUUUUAUUUAUUUUUCUACUCCAAACAUAUUUUUUGACUCCAAACAAACCUUCAACAUUUUUGGUUUUUCUCGAAAAACCCCUUACAUUUUAUAACUUUUUGUGAAAAAAAUGACUAAAAGGGUCGGAUAAAAAAUACAACUUUUUAGGCAAAAAGUAAAGAAAAUGUUUGAUAAAGUCUCAAUAUUUUGGGUCAGUAUAUGGUUUAAUCAUAAUAUUUAUUUUUUGAACAAAAAAAGUCUCGAUUAUUUAUUUUUAUACGUUGAUCUGUUAUUUUGUAUUGGAAAAAAAUAAAGGUUAUUUUAUUAAUUUGGGUAAAAUAUAAAAUAAUGGAGACUUUUAAAAAAUAAAAGUUAGAGUUAAGUCAUAAACUAACCUAAAAUAUUGAACUGAUAUUUUUUCAAAAAAAUAAAUUUAAACUUUAAUCCAGAAAAUAUUAUAUAAGAUAGAACAAAUUACAUGAAUGGUCCUUAAGGUUUUGCUUUUUUCCCUAAAGUAGUCCCUACGAAACUUUUUCCCCUCAGAUGGUACCUACGGAGCAAACCUUGCACACAAAAGGCCCCUAUGACUAACUUUGUUAACAGAUUCUGUUAAGUUUUAUUAAAUGACAAAAAUAUCCUUUGUUUUAUGCACACAGAUCCCCCCCCCCCUCUCUCUCUCUCUCUCUCACAACAAAAAGUCAAAAACAUUAGCCAUCAUCAUUUUCACACCACCUAAUUCACAAUCUUCACACCGUCUCCAUCAUUUUUUCAGGUCAAAAACAAUCUUCGUCAUUUUCACACCAACUAAAUCAAACCUAGAAACUUCAUCUUCAAAUAACCACCCAUAUCCCCACCCACCGUAUGCCCUUCUCUAUGUCAUUCCCCUUCCACCUGAUAUUCUACCGGAUAAACAGUGCUUCUGAAACCCUAAAAAUUAAAAGAGGCAGAUGAAUGUCAUGAUCGAUUGUUGAUGAAGGCAUAUCUGUGAAAUCAAAAACACUGGCUGCUGAUGAAGGUCAAAUGGAUACGAAUUAGAUCAACAAGCACAUCGCCAGUUGAGAACCAAGGGAACAAGUCUCCUUCUUCAUCUGAUCGGGGAGCAAAAUGUUCAAGGCUGCUUAACCCCUUGGAAGGGAACGAGCAGUAACAAUAGCGAAGGAAGGGAGGUUUGUGGGGUUUUUUUAACAACCGAAUGAGAGAUUAGAAGCGGCGGUGGCAGCUCCAUGUUCGCCGACAACUUCUUUGAUAGAAAGAACAAGAAAUCAAUCUCAUCAUAUCUGAACCCAUUAGAGGAGGUGACACUUCGACUUCUUGCUUUAUUUUGGUCUAGAGUCUGGGAAGGGAUUGGUGGUGGUGGAAGGCGGUGUCUCCAUUGGCGAUUUUGUUAGGGUUGGGGUUUAAAAGGGUUUAAAAGGAUCCAUCUGAUCCAGGUUUAAAGCUUUUUUUGUUGCAAAUCAAAACCCUGUCUUUCUGAAUCUAACGAUCUUCCCGUUCAUGAGAUUUCAAGAGAGAGGAGAAGAUGGAGGUGGCAUGUCAGCGAGGACGAUGUAAGGUGGGGGAGAGACAUGCCGGAGAAUAUGAAUUGGGCGGUGCUUUAAUGAGAGAGAGAGAGAGAGAGAGAGAGAUUUUUUAAUUUGAAAUGAAUAAAAUAUUAAAAAUAAAUAAAAACAAAGGGUAAUUUCGUCUUUUCACACACACACAUAACAAAUUAUGUUAACAAAGUUAGUCAUAGGGGCCUUUUGUGUGCAAGGUUUGCUCCGUAGGUACCAUCUGAGGGAAAAGAAUUUCGUAGGUACUAUUUUAGGGAAAAAAGAAAAACCUUAAGGACCAUUCGUGUAAUUUGUUCUAUAAGAUAUUUUAUGAAAUUAAGCCUUAUGCUUAAAGGUAGGGUUUUAUUUCAGCAAUGGUUGAAACUUAGAAACUUUUUAGUAUACACUGAUGGAGAUUUUAGGGAUAUUAAUUUUCAGAUGGUUCAAACCAAUCGAAAGGAUAUCUGAAUUUGAACACUGCACACCAUUUCUGCCGACGGUCUAGGAUCCGAAAUUCUGGAUGAAUGGAGAAUUGGAAUUACAUGUAUCGCCUGUAAUUGCCGAAUUCACCCCAUUAUCACCUGAAGCGUACGAUAUUUUCCUUAUCUAUCUUGCGAGGAAGACUAAUUCAAUCAAUCGAAGGGUGAGAUCCACCAUUUUCAUCAAGGUAACAUUCACACCCUGCCAUUGUUUUCUUCUUAAUUCUUAACUAUUUCGAAUUCCAUUAUCUGAGUACAAGAGGGCAUAUACCAGUAGUAUGCCACAUCUAAUGAUUUCUUUAUCAUUAUCAUAUUAUUAUUUAUGUUACAUUACUGUAGAUAAUAGUUUUAUAUGGUUACUUGAUGCAAUAGUGUGGCAACACAUUUUGGGUAUCGAUCAUUUGGAUAGUGCCUCUGUCGUAAAACCAAUCACCAACUGCCUGUGCAAUAGCCUGUAAAAAUUGUGUUUCAACUUACAAUGCUAUAGAAAUAGAGACGAUGAGUGAACAUGUUUGAAGGAGAUCGAGAUGUUUACCUUAUGGUUCAAUUCCCAAGCAGGAUUUCCUGACCAUUUUGAUUGGUAUUCACAUUGGCCAUGAGUAAAACAAUUGUUAACAAACCAUCCUCUUGAUGAACCAUUUCCAACCACCAAAAAUGCUUCUAAAAACUCCCAUCUGAAAUCUAAUCAAAAGCAACAAGAAAAAGAUAUUACAAGUGUCGUCUACUUUCUAUAAACUAACUAAGUGGCUGUUUGAUAACAUCUUUAUGGAGCCAUUCAGAGGUCAACAUUCAGCGAGUUUAUUGACCUUGUAGCCUUUGGAUCUGUGCAGAUGAACACACGUUUAUAUCUUCCUUGCAUUUGGUAAAGAGUCCAUUAGGAUCUGCUUGUGGCGUAGCCAAGAUGUUUUGUACCUUAAUAUUUACAAAAUCAAGUCAAAAAACAAGUGUAAGAUGUAAUCCAUUCAACUUGAUUUGUACUUAGGAGAAAAAAAAUUCUGAUAUAUUGUUUUAAAAGCUUACCUGGAAUGUAUCGUAUGUAGUUUGUAAUAUAAAAACAGGUGUUUUGACAUAUGGGAUGACAAAUUGUGGGUAGAAACACUACAAUAUAAUUUUCGUUAGUAAAGUAGGUUCCAUGAAUCUAUGGUGAGGUGAGUAUAAAAUGUAAGCAAGAUACAAGUGCUUACUAGACUUGGCUUCAUUUUUGAAGUACAUUCGGGAUUCAAAUUUUUAGAUGAUCCCUAUAAACACCAAUAAACGUUUAUCUUCCAAAUUAUGUGAUUUUUGGAAUAAUUUACAUCAUGAGCUAUCGAAAAGGAAUAGUAAAAGGAGAUAACAAUAACAUACAUGUAAUGUAACUAUCAUAUCGUAGUAUCCCUCAAACUUAUAUUCUCCAGAUAGGUCUUUUCUGUUAACAUUCAACGAAAAGUACAUAUGAAUAACCAUAUCGAUUGGAAAGAAAUGUACAUAUGUAUGAGAAAUAAUAAUGUCUUAAUUGAUGUGGGAAGAUAAACUUACACAUGAGCAAAAUAACCAGCAUCAGAAAAGCAUUUUACUCGAGUUCUUUUGUGAAAGAGAUCUCGGAACUUGUCACAGUGUAGUAUGGAAGCCAAUCCACCAGCGGAAGAUCCCGACAAAAGAACCUGUUGAAAUUGUGUUUGAGAUUCUUAAAAUAGAAACAAACGAGAAUACAAAUAGAGGGGAUAGAUUUUACAUUUGAUGCAAACUUCAUCCCUUUGCUAAGCAACUCCUCAACAAUGGCAUUAAAGACCCUUGCACCCCUGAAAUGAAGAUUUGUAGCCUUCAAAACAAAUGACAAUGACAUAAUUCAUAAGAAAUAGUAAGAUGCUAAGAUAAACACAAAUUAACUCGAAUUUAACCCAAAUAUAAUNNNNNNNNNNNNNNNNNNNNNNNNNNNNNNNNNNNNNNNNNNNNNNNNNNNNNNNNNNNNNNNNNNNNNNNNNNNNNNNNNNNNNNNNNNNNNNNNNNNNNNNNNNNNNNNNNNNNNNNNNNNNNNNNNNNNNNNNNNNNNNNNNNNNNNNNNNNNNNNNNNNNNNNNNNNNNNNNNNNNNNNNNNNNNNNNNNNNNNNNNNNNNNNNNNNNNNNNNNNNNNNNNNNNNNNNNNNNNNNNNNNNNNNNNNNNNNNNNNNNNNNNNNNNNNNNNNNNNNNNNNNNNNNNNNNNNNNNNNNNNNNNNNNNNNNNNNNNNNNNNNNNNNNNNNNNNNNNNNNNNNNNNNNNNNNNNNNNNNNNNNNNNNNNNNNNNNNNNNNNNNNNNNNNNNNNNNNNNNNNNNNNNNNNNNNNNNNNNNNNNNNNNNNNNNNNNNNNNNNNNNNNNNNNNNNNNNNNNNNNNNNNNNNNNNNNNNNNNNUAUAUGAACCAGCCAAUUUUGAAGACCUUCACCAAAACCUGCAUCAAACUGAUAUGCUGGUGGGCUUCCAUCUAAGCAAACUGUAGACCACCAUUUACCACAAUCAAAAACAAAAACUUUCUAUUAAUAGAAAGAAAAAAAAAGACAGGUUAAACAAUCAAAGUUCACCUGCUCCUUUGGCCACAGCUCCCUCAAUGAGGGUUAUACCCUCUCCACUUGUGUUUUCAAUUUUUAGAAGGAUGAAUAUACAUACUAGUGAGUGUGGGAGCCAUUUGUUUGAUCUUACUUUCAUCGUAGUAUAUACUCAAAAAAUUGCNNNNNNNNNNNNNNNNNNNNNNNNNNNNNNNNNNNNNNNNNNNNNNNNNNNNNNNNNNNNNNNNNNNNNNNNNNNNNNNNNNNNNNNNNNNNNNNNNNNNNNNNNNNNNNNNNNNNNNNNNNNNNNNNNNNNNNNNNNNNNNNNNNNNNNNNNNNNNNNNNNNNNNNNNNNNNNNNNUAUAUAUAGUAAAUUUAAAUUCAUAAUAUGAAACAAACUUUAAAAGAUAUGAUAUGAUGAACUAAGAAAAUUGCUUCUGCUUAUUUAUUUACUUUUGUUAAAUUAGUAAAAAAUAUUAAGAUAUAGUUAUUGUAAAAUCAUAAAUAUAUUUUGGAUUUCAAACAGGAAGAAGAACAUGUUCAAUAUUCGAAGAAAAAAGUAUGUUCAUUUUAUACUGAAAUUUAAGUUUUCACAAAAAAUUAAAGAAUCAUGGCAAAAGCGAGAUAGAUAAAUAACGAUAAAAAUACAAAAAGUCUCGUUAAAUUGAAAAACUGGUAAUAAUAAAUAAUAUUUCGUAUUCUGAAAUUUUAAGAACAUAUCCUAGACCUAACAAAAAAUUAAAGAAACCUGAAAAAGAUGGAGUAGAUUGUAAUAAAUGCAUAAAAAAGACAUUUAGUUAAAAAAAAUAAAAACGAUUAUGCUAGAGACAAUAGAAGUUUUUUUGAAAAUGUUUGGUAGAGAGAAAAAUCCGUGGCUUUUUCAACACUAAGAUCCAAAAUGGUCCAUCUCGAAAAUGGAGAUCAAUUUGACAAAUACUCAAAAAUUAGAUUAUUUCCUUUUAUUUAUGAAAAUCAUGUGAUAUUUAUGUUUUAUUAUUCUAAUAUUAAUUAUUUUAUUUAUAUGGAUACCGAUGCAUACCACUACCGUCCACUAAAUGAUGCACUCGACACGCGUGGUUCAAGGCUUGGCAUGUGGGUUUUGCAUCCCAAAUAUUUAGUGUUUUGACCACUACCAAACCAAAUUUAUAAAAGAUAAUCCACAAUAUAUUUCUCAAGUAAUAUUAUACGUGAUAUGUUAUCAAGGUUUUAAAAAUCGUUCGACGGUAGUUUGACGGUCGAUUGGUGUUAAAGGAUUAAUUGAGGACCAUAGAUUAUUAAUAGAAUAUUAAAAUUAAUCAAAGAUUAAUAUAUUUAAGAAAAAUAAGUACUUCAAAAUUAAAAAAUAAGAGAAUUUGUAAUUUAAAAAUACAAAAAUUUGAACAUUUUGGUAUAAUAUUUGAAAUUUUGAAAUUUUUGGAGUAAUUUUUUUUUUAAUUUUUUUUUUUUACUUUUGUUGCUUUUCUUAACUGAUUAAUCCCGCUAAAACCAAUUACUCCAUAAUUUCCGUCAAACAUACUAAUCCUAGUCGGUUGAAGAAUAUCAAACGAUUAAUCCACGAUUAGUCUCAAUUUCUGCAACCAUGUAUAUGAUACAUUCAUGCUAUGUAUCUUUUUUUUUUUUGGAACGGUGGAAUUUUAUUAGAAACUAGUAAGGAGCUAGAAAAAGAAUUACAUCAAAAUAGUAGCUGAAAUAGGAUUAUGAAGCCAAGAAGACCAACUAAGCUUGACUUUUGUACACCUAAUUGAAAUCCAAUAAAAAGUCUUAAAAACAACAUCAUCAAAAAUCAAAGUUUUCCUGGGAAUAGCUGCUCCAAAAAUCGUUGUAUUUCUGAAAUUCCAGAUGCACCAAAACGAAAUUAAAAUCAUUGCAUUAAAAACUUUCCAUUGACCAAUUCAUCAAGGACAAGACACUGGCCAGUUGAUAAGAGAAUCCACAGUAAUCUGAGAAGGAAGAUUGACACCCCACCAAACAGCAAUACGAGACCAUAAGAUAAUCAAAUCAGGGCACUCUACAAAAAUAUGAUUAAUAGUCUCCACCCUAGAAGAGCAAAUAGGACAAAGAAUGGAAUAUACCAAAAUACCCCUAUGAGAUAAAUGCUCUCUAGUAGGGAUACUAAAAAGUCUAAUCCUCCAAAUAAGAAUAUUAAUUUUAAUAGGAAUCCAAUGAGUAACACGACCACCAGUGAAAAGCAUAAUACCAUCCAAAUAUCUCCUUGCUGAAGAAAAUGAAUAAGUAUCUGAAAUAUCAAGAACCCAGCCCAGUCUAUCUGGGACUGACUAGAGACGAAAAUCCUGCAAAUGUAAAGUAAAAUUGUCCCAUUGUUCCUGCUCCACACCUCCUCUAGGAUUACGUUUGAAAGUAUUAAACCCCAAACCCAUAAAUAACCUUUCACUAAUAGAAACAUGUCUGUGCAAGUCUAGAAGAUAAACUCUAGGAAAGAUGGAAGACAAAGGCAUAUCACCCCUCCAUACAUCAUGCCAAAAAGACAUAAUUGUCCCAUCACUAACACUAAUAGGGCAAAAAGAAUGAAGGUCGAUAUAUUUUUGUCUCAACUAGGAGAACAUACGAAUAACCCCAACCCAAGGUCCUGUCCCACUAGUAGGAGAGUUCAAGUUCCUACAAGCACAUUCGACCCAUAAAUAGCUUUUAUCACUAUAACCCACAAAAGAUCAGAGCUUUGAUAAAACCUCCACCACCAACGAUAUAUCAUAGCCCUAUUAAAAGAGAAAAGACUUCCGAUUCCUAAUCCUUCUUCAUCCUUUGAAGAAAGAACUCUGUCCCACCUAAUCCUAUGCACCCGAUGUUCGUACCCAUCUUCAACCCAAAAAAAUCUCGCCAUCAAUCUCUCUAACUCCUUCAAGAGGGGGGNNNNNNNNNNNNNNNNNNNNNNNNNNNNNGGGGGGGGGGGGUAAGGAAAAUGUACAUCAUGUAGCUCCUCAAAGAACCCAACGCAGACUUCACCAACGUAAGCCGACCUCCAAUUGAAAGACUCUGAGGCUCUGAGCCGAGCUCGAGCCUAUGUCACUAAGCUUGAUUAGACUUGUGAGCCUAUAUAUAAUAUAAUUUAUUAUUGUAUUUAUAUAAUAAAAUAAAAACAUAUUUGAGGAAUUAGGGAUUUAGGGUAUUAGUAAACAAGCUCGAACCGAACUUAAGUUUAUUUAGGCACGUUAGACAAAAAACAAACCAAACUCAGUAUAAUAAAGCUUGAAUUGAGUCAAGCUCAAGCUCGAACCCCGUAUAAUUUAAACGAACCCGAGCCGAGCCUGUCAGGCUCGAGCUUAGCUCAACUCUUUUGCACCCUUAAACAUUAGCACUGUGUAAUAUCAAAAUUGCAGAAAUUGUCUUGUAUAACAAGGUAUCGGAAAAAAAUAAAAAUAAAAGACGUUAAAUAGCGAACAAGUCGAAUCAAGAUCAAAGUUACAAUCGAGAACUUAUCAUUCGAGAAACACAUCAUGAGGUUGAAACUGUUAGCGUAUUCCACAUCGGUGCGACACGAUAAUAUAAGUGACUAUAUAUGUUAGAGUUCCUUUUCUCUAUAAAAACUUUUUUGAAGAGACAAUCUUGGGCUCCACGUAUAUUUAUAGAAAGCUUUAAAAAACAAUUGAUUACAUCAUGGAUCUUUUUUACUAGUGUCACGAUUUGAAUCCAACCACUCUCUACCAUUUCUACUCAUAGUGAAAUUUUGGAUAAAUGACAAACUGGAAUAUAUGUAUCGCCAUGGAUACCAAAUACAAUCCAUUAUCAACUGCAAGCCAACUGAUCUUGUCCAUCUCGAUUGAUUAUAUAAUUGAUUUCACAAAGUUUGUUCUUUAAUCAUGUAAGCAAUUUUUUUAUUCAACACAUGUUUCACAUCCAUUAUUUGAAUACUUUUAGACAUGUAUUACAUCUAUGAAUUUUUUUAUAAUUAUUAUCGUUUUAUUAUUUGGCUCAUACCAAGAGAACCAUACAUAAGAAAUGGGUUAGUUGAUGCAAUAGUGUGGCAAGAGAUUUUGGCGAUCGCUUAUUCGGACUAUGCUUCUAUCGUAAAACCAAUCACCAACCGACUGUGCAAUAGCCUACAAAAGAUGUGUUAUAUAUGUGACUAACAGAAAUAUAGACUACAAGAGAACAUAUAUGUAUAAGGAGAUCCUUACCUUAUGCCUCAAUUUCCAUGAACGAUAUCCUAACCAUUUUGUUUGGGAUUCAGCUUGGCCGUGAGUAAAGCAACUAUUAACAAACCAUCCUCUUGAAGAACCAUCUCGAACCACCAAAAAUGCUUUUAAAAAAUCCAAUCUAAAAUCUAACCAAUACAACAAUAAUCAAAUGUUACAAGUGUCUCUUCUACUUCCUAUAAGCCUACUAAGACUAUCUUUAACCCUUAACAUAAUUCUACAUCAAAUUUAUAAAAAUAUAAUAAUAAUUCUUGAAAUAGUAAUUCUUCUCCGAUGGUUAUAGUAUUUUUACAACGAAAAUAAUAUUAUUGGUAUAUUCCAUUUGUUUCUGAUCUCCAUAGAUUUUUAAAAAUAAGCCUGAUAAUUGUUAUUUUUAAAAGUUUNUAAUAUGAAUUUAAUUUAUAGUGUAACAUCAAAUGUAACAAAAAUCACAUAAAAAUAUUACUCCCUCCGUCCCAAAUUGAUAGUCUACUUUUAACUUUUGAAGUCUUUUUUCUUUAACUUUGACCUUAAAUAUUUUUAUUUGUGUUAUAUAUUACUUAAUAAAACUUAUAACAAUGAAAAAACAUUAAAAAUAUAACACAUUUAUAUAUUUUGCAUAUCAAGUAUUAUUUAUCAAAAUCAAAAAUAUUUAAGGUCAAAGUUGAAGAAAAAAAACUUCAAAAGUCAAAAGUGGACUACCAAUUUGGGACGAAGGUAGUAAUAUACAAUUACAAAUAAUAAACCAAUUAAAACUACAUUAUUCAAAAUUAAUGGUCAAUUUGUAAAAACAAAUGGUGUUGGAUUGGAGCAACUUUGCUAAAAAAAGGUGCAAAAUUUGGAUUUGGUGUUAGGUUGGAGAUUUCCUAAGAUAUUUUUUUCUCAUUAAGUUGUUUAGAUGAAAUGUUGUCUAGAUAAAUGAUCUUCCUGAAAACCCAUUUCCUGAUUUUCUCUAUUAAAUCAUUCUUUUUUUUUUUUUUUUUACAUUUAAAAAAAAUGUAUAUAUAGUUUACCAUAUUGUGUUUAAGUCCAUUAGUUAAAAAGGAAACAAACGCCUAAAGCCAAGAAUCUUUGAAUAAAAAAGCAAAGACAUUGACCUCGUAGCCUUUGGAUUUGCGGAGAUGAACACAAAUUUAUAUCUUCCUUGCAUUUGGUAAAGAGUCCCAUAGGAUCGGCUUGUGGUGUCGCCAAGAUGUUUUGUACCUUAGUAUUUGCAAAAUUAAGGCAAAGGACAAUCGUAAGCAGUAAUAUGAACUUGAUUUCUACGUUAUUAGAUGAAAUUAUAAAAAUUUGUGAAAUAAUGUGUCAAAGCUUACCUGGAAUGUAUCAUAUAUAGUUUGUAAUAUAAAAAUAGGUGUUUUGACAUAUGGCAUGGAAAAUUGUGGGUAGAAGCACUGCAAUAUCAUUUUUUUUUUCAUGUUCAUCAGUAAAGUGCAUUCUAAGAAUUUUAGAAACAUUCAAGAUACAUGUGCUUACUAGACUUGGCUUCAGUUUCGAAGUACAUUCGGGAUACAAAUUCUUUAAUGAUCCCUAUUAUAAGCACACAAAAAAUAUUCAUCUUCUGAUUUAUAUGAUUUUUCAGACAGUUUAUCUCAAUACUAGUGGAAGAUAACAUACAUGUAAUGUAACCACUUGAUCAAAGUACUCCUCAAACUUAUAUCCUCCAGAGAGGUCUUUUCUGUUAAAAUUCAACAAAAGAAACACAUGUGAACCUUUUGUUAAUUUUGACAUGUAACGAUUGAUCCCUAUAGAAGAAAUGUAGCAUAUAACUGAAUUAAGAAGCUAAACUUACACAUGAGCAAAAUAACCAGCAUCUGAAAAGCAUUUUACUCGAGUACUUUCUGGAAAGAUUUCUCGAAACUUGUCACAGUGAAGAAUGGAAGCCAAUCCACCUGCUGAAGACCCUGACAAAAGAGCCUGUUGGCAUCGGUGUAUAACUUUUGUAAACUAGGAACAACCAAUAAUAUACAAAGAGAAGGGGUCAUGGGGGAUUUUACAUUUGAUGCAAACUUCAUUCCUUUGCUAAGCAACUCCUCAAUAAUGACAUUGAAGAUCCUUGCACCCCUAAAGUGAAGAUUUGUAGCCUUCAAAAUGAAUGACAAUGAGAAUAAGAAUGUUCAACGAUUCUUAUUAUUNAUAUAUAUAUAUAUAUAUUUCUAUUGAUUUUAAGAAUCUAUCAAUGAAAUGGACUGAACUAAGAGCACUUAAAUUCCUGGAAAACAUGGGAAUGCUUGUUAUUAUGUAAAUGUAAGGGCAUUGCUAUUAUGUGUUAGGAAAUGAACAUAUGUUUCUAGUAUGUGCAAAAAUGAAUGUACAUUGCUACUAUGUGAAAGAAAUGAUAGUACCAUGUUAUUACGCAUAAAGAAACAUGUCGUCGUUAUAAAAAUAAAUGUAAAUAUUUUGUUAUUCUGAGUGAAUAGAUUUUAUGAUUUUUAUGUUGCUUGUCUUUAUUGCUACAUAGAUCCGUAAAUAUAUUGUUUUAUGGGCAACAAUUAUAAGUAUGUAGUCAUUAUGGGUAACAACUGUAAGUUACAAUAUUGGCUGUAAAAUGUAACGACCAUUAGUUGUAAUAUUAUGUUGACAAUCUAUUAAAUUGAUAUUAAUCGAUCACAUAUUAAAUUCAAUUUGUAAAAGACCUAAUAAAUAGAAUGCUUUUUUUUGACAAUCUUUAUAAAUUAUAGAAUAAUUAUAUUAUAAAUUUAUUUUUCAGUGUAAAAUUGUGUUAACAAGUUGUAGAUACCAUUAAAAUAAGUAUCAUUCUAAUAUAGAAAAUGAUGAGGAGGACAUCCUACCUAACCAAAGCAUUAACUUUUGAAUAAAACGUAAAUAUUAUCAAUAGUCGGUUUUUAAUUCAAGUGGCUUAAUUGCUAGUUUCCAAAAAUUACAAUGAUGAAUAUAUCAGAAUGAGAAUAUAUGGAUUUUUGGCUUUUGGAAUGAAGUGUAUAUAUGUCGUUUAGAAGUUUUAUAGUUUUUAAAUAAAAAGUAAAAACAUAAAAAAGGUACAAGAUAAGGCAAUGCAAUGAUGAUAUAAAUGUAUGGUACACAUAACACAGGACUUACAGGAUCAACUUCUUCCACAUCUCCAGUAAAUGAUGACCCAUCACAGUACCUCAUAGCGACUCUAUUCCAAUUGUAGAAAUCUAUCCAAAUUAAUUAAUUGCAAAAUAAUUUCCAAAUUAGUUCUUUGAGUCUUAUUGUAACUAAUAUCAUGAUAUCAUAAUAAGCAAUAAAUAUACGUACUCGGAUUUAAUUCUUGCUUAUUGCUCAAAAUCCCUGUGAAGUUGUAAUCAGAACUCUUCAUCAUCUUUGAAGACCCAAAUCGAUUAUACAUUCGUGUACGACAAUCUUCUAUUGAAUUGCACCAUCCCCCACCCUAUCAUAUAUAAUUAAACACAUUUACCAAAAUACAUACAUACAUACAUACAUACAUCCAUACAUACACAUAUACAUAUAUAGUGACCUGUAUAUGAAUCAGCCAAUUUUGAAGGCCUUCACCAAAACCUGCAUCAAACUGGUAUGCAGGUGGGCUUCCAUCCAAACAAACUUCCGACCACCAUUGUUACCACAGUAAAACAAUCAAAUAUUCCUAAAAUAGAAAGAAAGAUGGUUAAAGAAUCGAAAGUCACCUGCUCCUUUGGCCACAGCUCCUUCGAUGAUGUUUAUACCACUAAGUAUACCCUCUUCACUUGUACUUUCUGUUUUUAGAAAGAUAAAUAGACAUACAAGUAUUUGUAGUAGCCAUUGGUUUGAUGUUACUUUCACCAUAGUAUAAACUCGAAAAAUUGUUAAUGAAUAAGUCAAGUCUAGAUAUGUGUGUAUAUAUAUAAUGUACAAGUGGGUUUACUUUUGAAAUAUAUUAAUAAGAUAAUAUGAUAUAAAAGGAAAUUGCUUUAUUUGUUCAUAAAGUUUCUUUUUUCGACAUUAUUUUAUUUAAAUCACAUGUCUGAUUUCUUAGUAACAUGUCAUCCUUUUGAUUUCUUUUUAUUUUCGUUUUUCAUCGUACUAAUUUAGUUAAUUAAUAAGAAAAAUAUGUAAAUAAUAUAAUUUUUUUUAUGGAGAUCGAUGCACACUACCACCCUCCCCUGGUUGAUGCAAACUGGGCGCCUGGUUCAAGGCGUCGACUGUGGAGUUUGCAAUGUUUUUUUUUUUUUUUUUUUUUUUUUUUUUUUGACAAGAUAGGUGUUUCAAAAUUUUAUUUAAUUAAUUUUUUAUUUUUUAUAGUAAAUUAUUAGAAUGGUCCGUUGGGUAAUUUGCAUGUUUAGUCUCUAUUUUUUUUUUUAACUCGGACCUUCUUAACAUCCAAUUUUGUUGCGGUCAUUGAUCCUGUGAAAUAAAUAUAUUACCCUUACUGAUUCUUUUUCUAAUUUAUUUAUUUGGAAUAUAUAUUUUUGUUAUUUGUUAUUACUAAUUUAUUAAUUUAUUUAUUGUUAAAUGUAUUAUUCUUUAAUCUUCACCGAUCUUGUUACUUUCUUGCCGGACCACCAAUACGUCAUCGGAAAUCACCACCACCUCUGUAUGAAUUACCACCAUCUCUCCCACCAGAAUUCAUAAUUCCAACAAGUAGAAAGAUAUGAACCUAGAACACAAUCUCCUAACAAUCUAGAAUUAACAAUUAAAAGUAGAAUUUCAAUUAAACCAAGUCAAUAUAUCCGGGGAGAAAAACAAUCAAAAAAUAGAUCAUUAAACUUCUGAUAGAAGAGAAAACACACAGAAGUUAACUUGAAAAAGUAACCCAACAAUACGAUAAAGCCAUUUUAAGAAAAAUAGAGAUUGACAACAAUCCCACAUCCAAAACGAUGGAGGUAAAUAUGUGAAACAGAUGAGUGAAAAAAUAAAGUUACUUACAUCAGAAGACUAUGAGUGAUUAGAAAAUAAUAACGAAACAGAUUAGUGAACAAUGAAAGUAAUAAUAACAAAACAGAUUAGUGAAAAUAAUAAUGAAAAAUGAAACAGAUGUGAGGCAGCAAAACGAAAGUGAUCGACAAAUAAUAAGCUAUCUUGGACUCAGUAGAAAAAAAACAAAUAGAAGAGAACAAUUGAAGUAACUUAAAUCAGAAGACGAUGGAGGUGAUCGGAGCUAAGGGUGACAGUGAAGACCAGUGGUCGGUGGUCGGACUGAUAGUGCUCGAUGUCGGACGACGACGCUAGAUUGGAGGGAAGACGUCGAUGGGAGAUCGUCGUCUGGUGGUCUUUGUGGUGCGUGGUCGCCGGCUCGCCGCCGAAAGGAAUCGCCANNNNNNNNNNNNNNNNNNNNNNNNNNNNNNNNNNNNNNUGUUUGUUUUUUCUGAGGCAAAAUGUCUGCAGUCUGCGGACCACAUCUGUAGACCUCUGCAGUAGAAGAGGUGGACCAAACGUCUGCAGUCUGAAAAAAGAAGACUGUUUGUUUUUUUAACAUCUGCGGACUACUAAAAUAAACUGAAAUCUAAAUAAACUGAUUUUUUUAAACUUCAAAGUGAUUUUUUAAUAUUUUUAUGACUUUGUUAUAAAUAAUUAACGUAUAUAUUUGAUAAAAACCAACAACUUUGGUUGCAAAGUUAUAACUAAGCAUUAUAAAUAAUGAUCAAAAAAUUUGAUACAUAAAUGGAUGGAAAUAAACUUUGAUUUUUUCAAUUAAAUCCAUUAAAAACGUACCAUAAAUAUUUUCAUGAUAAAUUGACAAUAGUGUAUUAAAUAAUGUUUUACAAAAUUUGACAAAAAAAAUAUAAGAAUAUAUUAUUAUUUUUUUUUUUCAUAUUUAUAUAAACAACUUCAACGACUAUUAUUGUAAUAAAUCCUUAUUUAUAAAUUUAUCAAAAAUAUCAUGUUUGUAUCGUCGAACGUUUUUUUUUUAUUUUUUUUUAUUUCUAAGUUUUGUAUUUUUUUUUUCAAAUUGUUUAUCAUUAAUAAAGUUGGAAAAAAUAUAAAUUAAAGAAAACUUGAAAAAAAUUAAAUAUAUAUAUGUUUUUUAGGCUAGAAGAUGUCUGAAGACGUUAGAAGACUCUGGUCCACAUCUACGCCAAGAAGAGGGCGCGCAGACAUUUUUAGGUCUGCAGUCUUCAAAAAAAUAAACAGUCUGCAAAGGCUAAUGUCUGCGUGGCGCAGACAGAAGAGGCCACGCAGAUCUGCAGACAAAAAACAAACACUACCUAAAAUUAUCACAAAAGUGAACUUUUUCAUAAUUUACUUAAAAAUGAAUCAUAAAGAUAUUUUUUUUGAGAAUUUUUUCUUGUGAAUUAUCUUACAAAUGAAUCAUCUAGUGAUUCAUUUNNNNNNNNNNNNNNNNNNNNNNNNNNNNNNNNNNNNNNNNNNNNNNNNNNNNNNNNNNNNNNNNNNNNNNNNNNNNNNNNNNNNNNNNNNNNNNNNCUUUGUUACACAUGCUCGAGCUUGAGCUCGUUUAACAAACAAGUUUAAAAUUAGGCUUGAGCUCAGCUCGGGCUCGAUAAAAACCGAUCUCAAGUCGAUCUUUUACCGAGUUGAUCCGGAAUAGCUUGCGAGUAGCUUGGAUCAUUUGCACCUCUAGAUGUAGUUAUGCUUAUUCAAUUGGGAUAUGCAAAACACAGAUGAUAUAUGACUUCCAAAUCUAAAGUAAUUGUUGAAAUGAAGAUUUUUUGAACGACAAAUAUAAUAUACUUUUAAACUACUCAUAAUUUCACCUGUCACAUAUGAGACUUGAACCUUUGACUUCAAGGAGGGAAGGCAUGUUAUGAAAGAUCUAUAUACCCAAGAUUAAUUAUAGAAUGAUAUUGCUAUAUAAUAUAUGAUACUAAAGGGUCACAUUAACAACAACUUAAUGCAAAUAUAUUAUUUAUAAGAAUUUGAUCCUUGAUAAAUAAAUAUAAUUUUUGUAAUUAAUUGGAAAUUAUUUAUUUCAUGGAAAUAUUAAUUUUAAAUGUGAAGUAUCAAAACAUAUCAUAAUAUAUCAUAAUGUAUGAUUUAUUAUGUAAUGUACAUCUUUUUGGACCAAAAAAUAUUUAUUUUCUUAUAUGGAUUUAUAUGUUUUAUAAGUUAUAAAAAUUAGAAGAGUUUUUUUUAUAGAAAAACUAGCUUCUUCUUUUUAUAAAAUAUUCAAGAAGACCAUAAAGAAGAAAGAAAAAUUGUUUUUGAUUAAUUUAUUCAAAUACCAUGCUCUUAGAAAUCAUGAUUAAUUAAUUUGAUAAAGCGUGUCUUAAAAUGCUAAGCCUCGUGGGACAAAGGCUUAAAGUAAGAACUUAAAACAACUACUUUUCUCCUUUCUUUCUUAAGCCAAAACCAUGAAAUUUUAGUCUUCCCAUCUCCAUAUUCUCUAUAGUUUUGUCUCUUAAAGUGUUAAGAUCAAAAUAGGAAGAAGUUGAUACUUUACUUUAAUUCUCCUUUAGAACAAAAACUUUGUUUUGUUCUUAAAGGCUUAAGAGUGCUAUUAUUAAAGACUAGCAUUUUAUCAAGUUGGCUAAAUAUUAGUGGAUAAUUCUAGAGAACCUCUUCUUUGAAGCUUAGAGCAUCCACAUCGGUGGUAUUGCAAAACUUGACACAUCAAAUUUAUAACUUAACCCACAUUAAUAUAAUAUUAAUAUAUUUUUUUAAUGGUCCCCACUAAGAAUUAAAAAACUAUUUUAUAUAUUUUAAAAUAUAUGUUUGAAUUACCUUAUAUAGUCAUUUUAUGGUUAUUUUAGGUGAAAAGUCAUAAACCUUUUUUUUAUAAAUCAUGAAUUUGUGACUUUUAAAAACAACUUUUUGAGAGUUUUGAAAAGUCAUUUCUAAAAGCACUUAUCUAUUUACCAAACAUUUUUUUUAGACUUGGUGAGUCAAGAAAUUCUUUUCAUAAGCAACCCCAUCUUUAGUUUGAGAUUGCAUAGAAAGACUAAAAUAUAGUUGUUUAAUUAACUUUUGGUGUAGCGUAAUGUAACAUUCUUUUGAGGUUAAUGUAUAGUUUUGUAAACUACGGUUAUUUGAUUAUACAUGAUAUAAAAUAUACCAUGUGGUAUAAAUGUUAUUUUGAAAGAAGCAUUUUUAGUGUGUUUUGUAUUUGGAUUGGGAUCUUAAACCUUUGGUACAUGUUGGGUCUUGCAAUUCCGUCACAUGGUUUAUGUAUGAUGGUUCAUAUGUUACCUAGUCUUGCAAUUCCGUCACAUGGUUUAUGUAUGAUGUAUGAUGGUUCAUGUGUACAAUAAAAUAAACUUGGAGCCUUUAAUUAUGUAAAUAUGUUUUCUCUUAAUUUCAUAAUAUGUUCCGUGUUAACCAUCAUUCAUUCUAUAGAAAAAUGAAAACCAUAAUAAACUAAAGAAACACUAGUUUGCUAUUAGACUUGGGGUUUAGGCACAUUAAUUAAUCCAUAUCAUACAUUGCAUCUUACAUAUAUUGUUUGGUUUAUAAUGACUAAGAUGUUUACAUACUUUAUUACAUAAAGUAUAUUUUAAAUCGCAAUGUUUUUGUUUUUGAAAAAUGAGUUUAAUGAUUUUAAUGAUGUUUUAUGAUGAAAAAAUAGAUUAAUUUAAAAUUUAAAAACUUGUGUCAUUUAUAUAUUAACCUUAUGAUGUCAAGCUCAUAUGUGAUUCACUAGGCUUCACAAAUUUAACUUACUAUUUUGAUGUCGGUUAAAAUUAGGGGAAAAUGUCAUUUUAACCCAACGAACUUGUCAUUUUUAUUUUAAAAGGUGAUUCAAAUAUUAAUUUUGUACAUUAAGGGAAUGAAGUCGGGUAUACCAUUUUAAAAGAUCCUUUUUUAACUUGAUAUCGGUUAAGCCGGUAAAAUGUGGUGAUAUAUACAAAAUUAUUCUUUCAAGCAUUUUGACGAGCACCUUCUAUGCAUUGCUUAUCUUCUUCUUGUUUUUCUAACUUGUUUGUUUAAUUUCCAAAAACUAAUGCAUGUGCAUCCAUCCCCAUCUUCAUCAGUUCAGCAAAUAAAGGAAAAUGAUAUUAGAGAGAUUAGGUGAGUGAUGUUGUUGGUAGAGUCAGUUUCCGAUGAGGAACCGAACAGAGAAGAAACAAGAGGCUGAUCCCUCUUUUGUGUUUGUGAUGACAUUAUUUCAAAUGAUUUGUAGGAGUGUGAUGUACGAAAAUAAAGUUGAUAUCAUAGCUUGACUUGUAACAUCCCAAAAAUCAAGGGUAAAAAUUUCAUUUUUAUUAUAAUCAAAACACUGAUGUAACUUUAUCCAAACAUUUAAAAGCAUUUCAAAAUAAAACCAUUAUCAGAGUUCAUUCCCAAAAUCGCAUAUUUCAUAAAACACGAGUGUAUGCGCUGCGAUCAAUUCGGACCCUUCCAUUUCGAACCGGAAGUACCUGAAACCAUAAACCACAAACUGUAAGCACAAAUCUUAGUGUGUUCCCCACAUACCACAUACCAAACAUAUCAAACAAGCCAUACUUAUCAUGCAUAUCAAAUCAAUCAAUAAAAGUGUUAUGUGCAACCCAUAGUCUUGCCAGGCCGGGGGCCAAAACCCUGGGUCUUACAGACAAGUGCCAAGAGUUACCUCCUAGUCUUCCAUGUAAGCAUCACAAAUACAACUAACAUACAAUCUAGUUAGCUAAUAAUUUCCAGAGUUCAGACUCUGGUCUUGCAUACAGAAUGCUAGGAGUCGCGUCAUGGUCUUUCAUUCAAAAUGUCAAGGGUCACCCCCGAGUCUUCCUAUAAUACAUAAACCGAAUGGGCCGGCAUUGGUGCCUUCGACCCAUAGAACAAUGAGGAGACUCACCUUUAAUGCAAAAGCUCACUGAAAGAAAUCUCUAGUUGUUUCCCUGACGACAGCUCCGAGCUAUCAGAUCAAAAUAACACCCAAUUAGCAAUUGGAUUCCAUUCUAAGGCCCACGAUCCAUACUUGGGGUAAAAUGAGCAAUUUACCCCUAACCCAACAUGAACUAAAACGGAGGCCCAAAACCAAAAGAUCCAUAAAGGCCCACUAAUGGCCCAAUUUUCCAAAUUGGGCCCAACCCCUUAUUGGCCUUAUCCUAAUUCCAUAAUUUCCUUAGUUACAAUUCAUAUUACCUCAAGUACCUCUUAGGACAUACUUGGUCAAAGACAAAAUUCAAAUGUCCAGAUCAACAAUCCAUGUUGACCCAACACAUCGUGUUGUCCUUCAACACGCCAUGUUUCUCCAUCAACUUCGAAUCGAGAAAAACCAAGCCAACAUGCCGUGUUGACCAACAAACACGCCGUGUUCACCUAAGACCCAACAACUUAAUACAUUAAGCUGUCUUCAUCGAAUCAAAGAGCUCCAAAGCUCAGAUCUCGACCAAAAUGAGAUCUAGAAGGGUAAAGUUUCCAACUUUACCCCUAGGAACCACCAAAAUGGUUCCAAAACCCAAACCCUAGACUUAAAAGAGUGAGGGCUUAACCAUUAAGCACUUAAUCCUCAAAGACAAAGCCCCAAAAUGCAGAUCUGACAACCUAGAGUUGGAAGACCAAGUAAAGUUGCCAACUUUACGUUCAUGCAUGUCAAGGAGAAGCUCAAAUGCUCAAGAAGGGCUUAAUAAGGGACUUAAUGCAUUCAUGAGGCCUAGAAUCUUUUAAACCACCUUUUUGCCAAAGGAGUCUAUGAAAACCCCAGGUCUGAAAGAAUAAGCCUGUGGGACAUCCUAAUCCGAACAUCCAUUCAAACCAUGGCUAAAACAUACCAAUUUAACCUAAAAUUAAGAGAGAUUUAAGCAUCUAGCAAUUAAGAUAAGAACUUGAUACCUCAAACUCCUUGCAGAAUGGGUAGUGGUUCCGGAUCCAAAACUUUCUUCUCCAAGCUUAGAAACUUCAAGAUCUUUUAACUCCUUCACAAUGCACAAAAUGAACACCAAACUUUCUUCCAAGGCUCAAAUGCUUGACAAUGGAGGCUACAACUUGUUUUAUGGUUUUGAUAACAAUGGAGGCUAAUAAGGAGGCCAUCCAAAGGGACUAAAGGCCUUUAAAUAGGGUGCAACACCCUAAAAUAUGGGGUUUCCUUCCCAGCUGCCAACACGUCGUGUUGAGGCACCCCAACACGCUGAGUUGGUUCAUUUAAUCAUCGCGAUUCUUCCAUCCUAGACACGUCGUGUUGGUUCCUCCAACACGCCGUUUCUAACCCGAAAAGAGGCUUUACUCCCCAACAAUUUCUCCUCAAGAUUCUGGGCGUUACAUGACUGCAAUCACAACCGCAAUGGUGGCAACCACAAAAGUCCAUCGGGAAUGGAAUCGUAAAAGAUUCUAGCGGUGGAAGCAUGGUGUUUAUCCAUGGUAAGUUGGCCUCUGUUUUGACAAACUAAUUGUACUUUGUUUCCUGAUACUAUGCCCUUCUGAGGGGUAAAACUCAACAAAUGGCCUCUGAUUUGAUUUUCAGUAAAAAAAAUUAUCUAAAGACACACUUUGUAUCUUUAUCUUCUCUGAUUUCUUUAUUUCAUUGUUUGUAAUACCAUCAUUUCGUUUUAGCCUUAUUGAUUCUUGUUCACCAUUGAAGUUCUUUUUCUGUUUAUCAUCCAUGGCUUCUUCUUCUCCAUUUUCACUAACUUUUAGGUCCAUAUCUGCUCCUAAAAGUGUUGUUUGUACUACCUCUUAAACAUCUUCAAUACAUAUAACUGCUUCCAUCUUCCGAUAUUGUAGGUAAUACAUCUUCUGAAAGUGUUUCUGUAUGGAGGAUACUUGUUCAGGUGAAGUAAUAAGGAUCUAUUGCUUUACACACAAUGGAGAACUCAAGUUCAUCCCACCACAACCAACAUUUGUGUUCGGAAUAUUCUAUGUAUAAUCAUUAAAUGCAAAUGUGACGUGGAUUUUAUUUUUAUUUUUUAAGUGAAAUUAAGUUGGAAACCGAUAAUUACAAGUUAAGGUACCUUUUUAGCAGGUCAAUUUAGACUUCAUUCCCUUGUAAAAAAAAAAAAAAAGCUUGAGAGAACUUUUAAAACAAAAAUGACACGUUGGGAAUUCUCAUCCUAUGAGAUAAAAACAAAAGAGAACGGUACCUCUAUUAAAAUUUUAUUAAUAGAAAAAAUUAAAACAAUUGUAAGUUGGGAAUUCUCAUCCUAUGAGAUAAAAAAGGCCCAAGGUAGGGAUGUUGAUCGGAUAUAGCUUUCGGGUUUUAGCUAAAGUUUAGGUUUUCUUCAAAUAAAAAUAAGAACCCAUAACAAAAUUGUAUUGGAAUUCGGGUAUUCGGAUAUGGGGAUUUCAGGUAUUACCCGUAAAAAAAUUUAUAAAAAAAGUUAGCAUGUUGCCUAGACUGUAGGGACCAAUUAUAUAACUAUAUUUGUAACUCACAAAAAUGAACCAUUCAUGAUUCUGCAUAUAACUAUAAACAUUCGAAAAUGUUGUAGUGGUCUGUGGUACAAAAAUAAGGAAGGAAAAAAAGUGCAAUUUUGUUUCAGAAGCAAUGAUGUGAUGUGUGAUCGAUCAGUAAAGAAGAGGAGACACAUUCACACAUAUUUUAAAUUGUAAUGGACCAUGUAUUAUCUAAUAUUUCAAGGGUUUUUUUUUUAAAUAAACAGGUAUUUAGGUAUAGCCAAAACCGUAUACACAUACCUUACCGAAUACACCAAACCCGAUAAACCUGACCUAUUCUACCCGAAUUCAAUACGGUUCGGUUUAUUAUUUCGGGUAUCGAUUAUUUUCGACAUACCUUGCCCUCUAGGAACAGCCAGAACAACCUAAAAAUAUCAUAAAAGAGACUUAACGGGAAUAUAACAUGCUCUAAACCUAAUACAUAGACAUAAACAUAACCAACCAUAAAGAAAAGAAAAACCUUUAAGUUGCAUGGGGUAAUUACAAUCAAUAAAGCAAAAUAGAUAAUUUGUUGUAUGUUUGCCUUCACAUUCGUUGUACGUUGAUAACUAAGUUUUGUUAAUUAAAGUUUGAGUUAAUUAAAAAAAAGUAAUUGCAAUAAAUUUGUCACUUUUCUAACAUUUAAAUGGCAAGUUGUCACUUUUCUAGCAUUUAGAUGACAAGUACUAUAUAUAAAGAGAGUAGGUGCAUAAAUUUACAGUUGAAAAAAAAUGACUUAGCAGGGUAAUAAUCUUUGUUGUUUUGUUCACAUUUAGGCAACUUCUUUAUUUUUGUACACAUUGGAUCAUUUAACUUGUUAUAUGUGUUCACAUAUUGUCAUUGUCAUCGACUAUAGUAGGUGACAAUGGUAAUAUUUGAACCAAUUAAGAGUUAAAUGGUUAAAUGUGUAAAGAAAAAGAAUGUUGUCUAAAUGUGAAUAAAACGAAAAGUUAAUUACUCUAAUAAGUCAUUUUCCCCACUUUUAAUAGCGAUUUUAUUUUUCAUAUUUGUUUGUAUUAUUUUUUCCAAGCGUUAUUUUUAAAAUAUCCAUAAUUUCCUAAAUAUUAAUUAAAUAUUGAUCAAUUCUAAACUUUACUUUUUAAUAAAUAAAUAUGUUUUUGUUUUGUGAAAUAUUUUAUAUAGCCUCUUAUAAUUUUUUUUAUUUUGUUUUUAAGCAUAUACAAUAUUUUAAAAGUAAAUACUAUCUAACAAUAAAAUUAAAUAUGUAACAAUAAGUAUGAAGAGUUUUUUUAAAAAAAUAACAAGAAAAUAUUACUUAGCAAAUAUAAAAACAGAAAAAACUUAUAUAAUGUAAAUGUUUAAAAUAUUACAACUUUUUAAUUAGAAGUUUAUAAACUUUUAAUUUUUUAAUACAACGUUUUAAACUUAUAAAAAAAUAUUAAUUUGUCAUACAAAAUCUGUGAAACACUCUAAAAAUGUUGUAAAAGAAAGUAAGUUAAAAACUUGUAAGAAAAAAUUAAAACAUUUAUAAAAUAUUUGUUUAAAAACACUUGUAUUAAAAUUAUAUGAAAGUAUAAAAAAAAAAGUUAAAAAAAAAUUAUAAACAAAGUUUAAAACAUUGUAUUAGAAAAACCUAUAGGAAAAAAAAAUAUUAUAAAAUGUUGUAAGAAAUUAUAAAAAAUCUUAAGAAAUUAUAAAUAAAAAAAGAAGAAAAAAAAUUGCUCACAUUUUGACAAUUUUUUUUGUACACAUAGGUCAAAUGAAACAUAGUAUUAGCAUGUGAUUUAUCAACAAUUAAUAUCUAAAUUCGAAAUAACUCGGAGGAUGUGUUUGGCAUGGAGCUUUUGUAAGCGUUUGGAAGUUAUAGCUUUUAGCUUUUGAUAAAACGCUCUAGUUUAAACAAAAAGCUUCAUUUGACAGUACGGACGUUUAACUUUUAGUUUUAACAAAACGCUCCGAUUUUAAAAGCUACUUCAUAUAGCGUUUAACAAAACGCUCAUGAGCUUUUGAAAUUAAUUUCCAUAAUUACCCUUAUAUAUAAUCAAAUGUCCUUUUAUGUAAUUUUAUAUAUUUCAAAAGCUUACAGCUACUUUUGCCAAACAUUCAUAUAACAAAUAAAAGUUACAGCUUCCCGCUACUAGCUACAUGUUGCACGCUAGCAGCUAAUCGCUAUCCGCUUCCAGCUAACAACUACUUUUGCCAAACACGCCCGAAAUUUCAUUAAAAAUAUAUUCAAUUAUUUAAUUUGUAUACUAUUUUUUUUAUCAUUCAAUAUCCUGUUUCUCAUGCAAAUUCUUAAUCUAAAACUUCAAAGGGUAAUAGCAUAAAAGACAUUAAGUUUACACCAAAAUUUUAAUUUGACACUGUGGUUUUUUUUGUCUCAAAUUUAACACUGUAUUUUUUAAUUUUUUUAUAAUUUUGACUACUUGACCGGUCAACCAGGUUAUCUGCUGACAUGACAUGCUGACGUGUCAAAAUUAAAUUUUUUUUGCACAAAAAACACUAAGUUUUCACUUUUUUCGAUUUUGACAUUAAGUUAAUUUUUUCUUUUCAAAUUUGACACUUUAUUUCUUUUUUUCCAAAUCAAACAUCAUUUUUUACAAUUUUGUUCAAUGUCGAACAUUUUCCAUUUAAAACCGUAUACCGGGUUGACAAGUCAAGAUGUUGGUGUCAAAUUUUAGACAAAAAAACACAGUGUCAAAUUAGAAUUUUGGUGUAAACUUAGGGGUUCUUUGUUUUUUUUUUUUUGUGAAGAUCUGCGCAACCACUUUUGUCUGUGCCGUGCAGACAACGCGUAGACAUAUGCCCUCACAGAGUGUUUGUUUUUUAGAAGUGCACAGAUCAAAAAACGUUUGUGCGAGGUCUUCCUGGCACAGACAUGGACCACUGUCUUCAAAGGUCUUCAGACCCCAUUUUACCUAAAAAAACAUGGGCCACCGUGCAGUUUUUUUUUCUUUAUUUUUUUGCUGAAAAUGUAUUUUUAAUGUUUAUGAUAUGAACUUAAGUUUGAAAAAUCAAUUUAUUUCGACAGCUGCAGACGUUAAAAACAAAUAGAUUUUUUAUUGCAGACUGCAGAUAUUUGAUCCACCUGUUCUACCGCAGAGGCUUGCAGAUGUAGUCUGCAGACUGCAAAUAUUUUAGCUUCAAAAAAACAAACAACACCUUUAUGUCAUUUGUACUAUUUACCCAACUUCAAAAAAAAAUAUUGGAACUUUUUGCUUACUACUAUUGUUUUAUGACUAAAGUAAAAAUAAUAAAUAUUGAACAAUGUUAAGAAAAAAAUAAGAAAAUAUUAUUAUUAGUAAUUAAACUAUUAAUCAACAGAUAAACAAAUUUAAUUAAAAAAAAACUAAUUAUAUAUCUAGAAUAAAAUUUCAAUUUGUUAGAAAUGAAUACAUUAAAUGAUAAAUUGAGUAAUUUAUAACUAAACUAGUUUAUAACCAUUGAGAACUACAGUUAUAAAAUUAAUUAAAUUUUCAUAAUAAAAAAUUAAAAUUAUUAAUCAAAUAUUUUAAAUAAAUUAUUACUUAUGAAAUAUUUUUUUAGUUAUAUAAAAUUAUAAUCAUUGAUUUAAACAAAUACGUGAAGUUAUAUCACCUUAUAAUUUGUAUUGAUUUUAUUUUAUUUUUAAUCUAAUGUUAUUAAUUUAAUAUAAUUAAAUUGAAAAAAUUUAAAAUUUAAAAUUUAAAGUGGAGAAUCAAUUAUUAACUUAAUAUAAUUAAAUGAGAAAGUUAAAAUUUGAAAUUUAAAAUGGAUAAUUAAUAGAUUGACAAGUGGCAUGAUAAGGGACAUAUAAUAUUAACGAUGAUUUUUAAUAUUAUGACACUUGUCGGUAGGAGAAUAAACCUAUUCAUUUAUUAGAAUAAGGAUUAAGUUUUUAAAGAGUUUCAAGCAACUAAAGUUAACUUAUGCAUUUGCUUGGCAUAAAACAAACAAUGUUGGAUUAGUAAAUAUAUAUUUAGAAUUAGAAUCCAAACAAUGGAAAAAAUAAUUAUAAUAUUAAUAAUAAUAAUGGUAAUAGUAACAUACAACAUAAUUUUGUGUUCUCUGUGUGACAAAAGCCAAACACAGAGGCGUGUUUCAUACAGAAGCUGUUUAAUAACAAGUGAAGUCUGGUAAGCCUCCUAGUCUGCUAUUUCACGUUAGGUUGGUUGUUGCAUGUUCGAAUAUCCUUCUCUCCUUAAUUGAAAUGAAAAUCUACUUCCAAAACAGAGAUUUUGAAUUGGAAAAGGUCUAAAGGCAGGAAGUUUGUAUUGACAGUAGAGGUCACAGACCUAGAAAAAUCGCCUACCCAAGGAUGAAGUUUGUAAUCACCUCUCAUUCUUUUUGUCCCAAAGUUAAGAUUCAAUUUCAAAUGGAUUUGGUUUUACCUUGGUAUAUGUAUGAAUUUUCAAAUUCAACAAAAAUAUCAUGAGAUUAGAAGAAUUUUUCAUUUCAUGUACUCAUAAAGUGAAGAGGGAGAUAGAAUUUGAUGUAACUUGAAGUUAUUUGUUGAUUUUUUACCACUCAAAACUUUGAGGUAAUUCUUAUUUGUUUCUAUAAGCUGGAGCACUGUAUAUACUUAAUUUCAUUACGCUUUUGUUCGUAGUGUGAUGUCACAAAAUCCAAGGCUUUUUCUUGAAUUUCAAUUUUGAAGUUACUAACAUGCCCAUGGGUUGUGUUAUGAUGGUCAUGUUUUGUACUAUAAAAUAAAUGAAAUACAACCCCAAUAAUCCAUAAUGAUUUAAUAGAAAUUACUUUGUUCUUUAUGCCAGACAUGGGCCUAUGCUCCUGCCUUUACCUUGUUGGCUAUAUUAAUGUCAAAGUAAGCUUCAAAUUUCCUUUUCCUCUUUUUAUGAUUUGAGGCUGAUUUUUUUUUUUGUGUGUGACAGAUAAUGUUAAUGUAUUUUGCCAAAGAUCAAUGUUAUAGAAGUUGUUAGAUCAUUAGUUGUUAUAAUAGUUAUUGAGGAUAAUAAAUUACUUUUAUUAACAAAAUUUAUAUAUGUUAUUAUAUAAAGCAUUUUAGUAGAACAGGUUGUUCUUUUUCAAAAUUAUUACAGACAAGAAUAUGAGUUGAUAUUGGAUUUGGGGUUCUUAAAAAAAACAUUUUAUGCCUCAAUUUUUAAUCAUUUGCUUUUUACAAGUUAGUUGAUGUGUACAAAGUUGUAUAUGUACUUAGAAACUUAUACCUUUUAAAUUAAUAAUUUUUUAGCAAACAUUUGAAUAGUCAUAUACGAUUUCGAAUUAUGAAAUUUGUUUCGUUUUAUCAUCCAUGGUUUCACAGGUUUAAAUUAUAAAACACCGAGAAGAGAAGAGACGGAAAAAAUACAUAUACAAUUACAAUUACAAUUAAAAAUAAUAAAAACAAAAACAAUCAUAUCAAUAUCAUAUCAUAAUCAUUAGGGGUAAAUGCAAAGAAUAACAAUAUAACCAACAAUUUGUUAUGAAAACAUUAUUCUUUGAAAACCUCCCCAUUAUAACAAUGCGUAAUCAGUUACUUUUUGCACAUCCCAUUAAAAGGAGAGCAAAAAGAAACAAUAUACUUUCCCUCGCUUUUAUUCAACUUAAAUAUCCUAUAUGAACAAUGACAUCAUCAUUCAAAACUCAAUGCUCUAAUAAGAAAUAAUAUGAAACUUUCACCAAAUUUCAUCCAAACUCAUAAAAGAUGAACAGGUCUUUAAUGGAUGAAACGAAACAAAAAGUCAAAAAGUAUAUAAAAUUGUAGAUAAAGAUGAAGAAAAGAAACACUUAAAACUAUACACCCAAAAUGAAACAAAAUGGUGUGAUGAUCAGAAAUCUAACCACUUGGUGUAGUAAACACAGGUAGUUGGAGAGAUGAGUCCAUCAGGUGUACACUCUCUAAUUCUUGGACAAACACCACAAGGAAUUGACACCAUUGCCCCUGUUUUCAAACCCUGAGCGGAAUCCCCUGUUGUAUAUCUAUAACAUAAAUUCCCAAUAGGAAUGGAAUGGUAUUCCCCCAAUCCAGUACUCUUCACCUCUAUAAUCUUAUUAUCCAAAACCAUAGACUUCAAUAUCUCACUUAUCUGCUGACUCGUGCAAUCGAUAUUAAUCAGCCCAUUUUUAACAGAAAAAUCAUAUACUCCAUCAGCAGUUGCAACCUUUAGCUUACGAAUGAUCCUGAGGCAAAGGUCUUUAAGACCAUUAAUGAAGUCCUGAUCAAGUUCCCCUUUUGAAUACCAUGAACCACCUGUGAUCUCCUGUGAUGGCUCAAAUUCAGCUGCAAUAUAGUGUUUUCUUCCCUUUAAUUGGACAUGGGCAACUUCUUUUACUAAACCAGAAGUUAGGAGGUUCUUUAUAGACUUGUUGAAAGUCGGAUCUGGGAGUCCUGCUUCCUGCUUUAAAUCCUUUACAAAGAUUGCCAUUUCUCUUUUGCUUUUGAUCACAUUCAGUACUAUGCGAUCUGAUUCCGCUAUAUUACCACCUGUUUUUGGUUUCGUCUCUGGGGCUUUUCUUUUCUGUAAGAGACUCAUCUUGAUGAAGCUGCAACAACACUAAACACUUUGAUUUCAGUCAUAGAAUCGAAUCAUGCAAAUAGAACUGACUUCAUUACUGAGUUUCUAAACAAACAGAGGCAGGCUUCACACUGAUCAAAACAGACUUCACAGUUCACAAGAAAUUAACACAGGGAUCUCAGGAACCAUAAUGAUAAAAAAACAUACAAGAGUGAUCGAAACAGGAAGUAGAAGUAUAAUGAUCAAAAGAAAGAAACCAACAGGAAUAGGAACUAUAAUCAUCAAAAGAAAAUGAAAGAGCGCAAAAAUAAAAAUAAAAAAUAGGAAAAAACUUCCAAUCGGACCUGAGGUCGAUGUCUGGUGGCCGGAAGUGAAGCUCUGAACGCCGUCGAGCAGAAGAAACGUGAAGGGCUUGGAGGUCGGAGGUCGAAGCGGAUUGAUUUCUAAUAACCUGAAGCCCUAAUUUCUAUUACUCUCGUCGUGGGAUAUACCAUGGACAUUUUUUACAUUCCAGUUAACCUUUAUAAGUAUUAAAUUAUGUGAGCCAUUUAUAUUUGGAUCAUGAUAGUUCUUGCAUUUAGAUGCGUUACGCCAUUUUUAGGUAUUUGGAUAGUAGUACGGACAAAUAAAGAGCCUUUCAAAUAAAUCAUAGUUGUGAAGAGAUCAUAAAUUGUUCGCAACAGUCUCAAACUCAGAUUAAACUAUUGUGCUUGUUAGAAUACACGCAUACACACAAAAAAAAAAAAAAAAAAAAAAAAAAAAAAAAAAAAAACAAAUGUGUCGUUCUUUGCAAGUGGGAAAAAUGAAGUGGCAACAAACAAGAGGCUGAAAGAGAUAGCAUCAACAACAAUGGAUGAAAUGGAAAUUAAAAAGUAGAAACCUUGGGUUCAACGGAGAUGUGCAGCCGUAGAUGAUGCGAUGGCAGAAUUGUCCCAAGUGAUUGUGAAUUGGUGAUUUUGUGCGUACAUGAAAGGGUUUUACAUUUAGGGCUUUGUACGCCCACUAAAGCGUGCGAAUUUUAAAAACCUAUCAAUGUAAAAUUUUCAUUUAAAACCCAUUAAAACUUGAAAAAUCAAUUUAUACCCUUAAAACUUGGCCCUAGACCUCCCGUGAGAGGCAAAUCGCUAAAAAGUGAACACUAACAAUAUUUUGGAUUUGUCCGGGUUUUGACUCUAGACCUUCAUAUAAAAUUUCACUCAUUAAUCAUUAAGUUUGUAUCGUGGGGAACAACUCCAUUUGAGAGCUUUUAAAAUGAUAAGUCGUAUCAUAUGAAUGACUCAUGUCGAACCUAUCUAAAGGUCAUCAUGUUAGGAUAAGUUGUGGGGCACUUUUGCACUUUUGGGUGUGUUUGAAUCUUUGGAUUUUUUUUUGUAGAAUUAUGAGGAUGUUUGAGAUUACUUUUCAAACUGAUUUAUUAGAUUUUUGGCUUUUUCAAAAAACCAAAUAUUUAAAAAGGUGUCCGGCAAUUCCAAAAGUAAUUUUGGAUUGACUUUUUGGUAAGAAGAAAAAAUGAGCUUUUUUAGAAGUCACGAAUUGCUAACUUUUGAUGACUUUUGGUUUUUUGGCUUUUGUCACCUCAAAAGUUAAUCUAAACAUAUUUUAAAAUUUUUUUUUUUUUGAUAAAAACCAUAAACCAAAAAGUCUUUUUCUUUUGUCAAAAAUGACUUUUUAAAUUAAAAAGCAAUCUCAAACACCCCCUAUAUACAUCAACCACUAGUCUCUCAUCGUAUAGACUUAUAAAACCUUUAGUCAUUAAAAAAACUCGAAUUAAGAAAAAAAAAUGUCAAUCUUAAAGUUUUUAGAAAAAAAACCCUCAUAAUCCAAAAGUUAUUUCAAGUAACCUUUAAAGAUAAACUUUUUUUUUGUGCUUUAUUGAUGUUCAUUUAUAUAAUUUUACACAUUUUACAAACUUAUAUAUAAUUUUGUCUAAUAAUUCUAUAUAAUAAAAGUUACAGCUUCUGAUUAUCAUAUAUUUUUGUGAAACAUACUCUACUAUCCUUAUACUCUACUAUCCUUUAGGCUCAUCAUAGUUUGAGCUCAUCAAAUGAAUUUUCGAAAGCCUAUGCAAAGUGAAAUUAAAAUACCUAACUUGAAAAUGAUAUAUGGACAUCAUUAGGCAUGUCCAAUAUUAUUAUAGUUCAAUUUUACAAUUAUAAUGAAAACUAAACUAAAUUGAUAUAAAGUAUUAAAAAUAUAAGAAAAAUAAGAAAGGAUGUGGCUCUCACUUCUUAUAUAGUCCUACUCAACAAUAGUUAUAAAAUUAAAAAAAAUAAUAAUAAAAAAAAACCAUUAUAGGCGCAAAUAAAUAAUGUAUUUUCUCUCCAAAAUUGAGAAUGAACAAAUUGUGUGGUCGAUUUACAUGAACAAAUUGUGUGGAAGAAAAAUAGAUUACCUUUAAUGUCUACAUUUCUUAUUUUGUUGGACAAAAUUUGAUAAGAUUUUUUUUUUUCAAUUUGAUUAGUGUCCAAAGCGGAAGCCUCCAAUACAAGAAUGGUAUUCUUAGAUGGAGCGUGAAGUUUUGAGUGGUAUAAUAAUGUUUUAAAGUUUUUGGUAGGAUCAUGACUAAAUGAGUACUAAAUUACUAACAAUUGUAUUUGCCAUAAUUCUUAGCAGUGAACAUGACUAAAUGCAAAAAGAAAUAGCAAUGUGCUUCCCAUCUUUUUUAUUAUACUUGAAUGACAUGGCUAUGAUAGAUACAUAAACAUUGCUAUCUCUUGUAUUUAUCUGUAAUAAUUAUAAUAAUAAUGAAAAUAACUAUAUGAUAAUAAAAUAAUAUGAUUAGGCUCUUUAAAUCUAGAAAUUUGUUUAAAUUGUACCAAUAUAACCGUUUGUUGCACAUCCUACCAAUUUUGGGUGCUUAGUUGGCAUACAUGUUUGAACGACUAGGAAAAGAAUCGCAUGUUUAAAUGAAUCUGAAAGAAAGUCGUUAGAUAGAUAACAUAUUUCAUUUCAAUGCCUAACAAAAGAAUAUUCAUUGAAUCAAAGAUCAAACAUUCCAAACUUAUAAAAGACAAACAGGUCUUAAUGGAUGAAACCAAACAAAGAGAUUCUAGAUCAAGAUCAAACACCAAAACAAAGAUAUUAUAUGUACCUCAAAAUGCUGCAGAAAAUGGAAACAUGGUGUCAUGAUCAGAAAUCCAACCACUUGGUAUAGUAGACACAUGUAGUUGGAGAGAUAAGUCCACCAGGCGUACACUCUCUAAUUUUUGGACAAACACCACAAGGAAUUGACAUCAUUGCCCCUGUUUCUAAACUCUUAGACUAAUCAUCUGAUGAACACCUAUAACAUAAAUUCCCAAUAGGAAUGGAAUGGUAUUCCCCCAAUCCAGUACUCUUCACCUCUAUAAUCUUAUUAUCCAAAACCAUAUACCUCAAUAUCUCACUUAUUUGCUGAGUCGUGCAAUCAGUUUUUAACAACCCUUUGUUCUUGAUUAUAUCCAUUACUCCAUCAGCAGUUGCAACCUUUAGCUUACGAAUGAUCCUGAGGCAAAGGUCUUUAAGACCAUUAAUGAAGUCCUGAUCAAGUUCCCCUUUUGAAUACCAUGAACCACCUGUGAUCUCUUCUGAUGGAUUAAACUCUGCUGCAAUAUAGUAUUUUUUGGUCUUGAAUUGGACAUGGGGAACUUCUUUUAUUAGACCCAAAGCUUGGAGAUUCUUGAGACACUUGUUGAAAAUGGACUCUGGGAGUUUUGUUUCUUCCUUUAAAUCCCUUUUCAAGAUUGCCAUUUCUUUUUUGCUUUUGAUCGCAUCCAGUACCAUGCCAUCUGAUUCGGCUAGACCACCACCUGGUUUUGGUUUAGGCUCUGGAUUUUUUCUUUUUUGUGGGAGAUCCAUUGCAAGAAAGCUAAACACUUUGAGUAAUAUUCGAUGAUGAAUCUGCAAGAACAAAUAGAACUUGAUUUAGUCAGAUUCUACACAAGCCCUACCAAAACAAAAGAAAAGUCAAAAUUAAGGAUGUUAGAACAUGCAUAAUCAUUUUAUGGAGCAAGACGACUAAAAAUUUUGUAUCCAACUAGCGUUUACUCUUUUUAUUGAAGUUGUAUGUGUUCAAUUCAAUACAAUAGGCAAAGAAUAGAGAAAGUUAUGUGCAAAAACACUGUUUGAAAGGCAAAUACAUUAUCUAUUUAUACAGAGGCGAUAAUCAGCAGCUAGAUUCUUUCUCGAAUCAACAAUUAAAUACUAUCAACUUAGACAUUGUACAUUGUUUAUAUUCUAGUUAACAAACAAUUAGUCGAUUAUGUGAACUAAGUUGUAUCUGGACCAAAAUAGUUUUGGGAUUUCGAGGCGUAACUUCGUGUUUAUGUAUCUGGAUAGGAGUAGAGAUCACGCAAUAGCUGUGUAGAGAUCAUAAAUAAACUGAUCGCAAUAGUCUCAUAGUCUCAUCAAAUCAUUGAUCAUUCACUGAUAAAAUCAGAAAAUAUACUUGUUAGGAUCUAUACAGAUACGUACACAUAUAAAACUCUGUCAAGUUGGACAAAAAAAUUGAACCCAAAUGCAUUGAGGAGAGGAUAGCGUCGAUCAACCACAAUGAAGAAUUAGAAAAUGAGAAUUGAAAAGAAUUAAGGAAACAUAACCUAACCUUGCUUGGGUUCAACGGAGCGCCGUUCGCAACCGGCGACCGUAUGAGAACUGACCGAUGCUACAGCUGAAGAAACGUGCGUGGCAAGGGAUAAAGAUCUCUUCUAUAUUUUGUAUUUUUACGGUAUUUUUGAUAUAACAAAGAAAUAUUACCAUAAUUAAAUAUGAUAAAUUUUAAAUAUAAAUAAUAUUUUUUACAUAAUUAAUGUAUUUUAUAUUUAGUUAGAGUAAUAUUAUACAUAAUUAAUGUUUAUUACAUUUAAUUAUGAUAAUAUUUAUUAUAAUUAAUGCUUUUUAUAUGUGUUUUUAGGAAAUAUAUUAAAAAAUCCCUAUUUUUAUAUCAUAUUUUUUUUAAAUGUUUUUAAAGCUAAGAUUUAGUUUUAUCAAUAUAAAGAUCUCUUCUAUUAUGAAAAUAGUUUAGUAUUUCACAUGUUAAACUUGUAAAAAACAGAAGUUUGAAAUAACAUCGUUUCGGACGUUUUGACAUUUCAAACCUAUGAAAUAGUAUUUUUCAGAAAGAAAAAUGAAAACUAUUUUUUUUACAUUCUAUUGAAUAUGCAAAAUUAGUAGUUAUUUGGGAAAAGCCUUUUUUUGGCGGGAAAAUGUCUCUUGAGGGUAAUUAACUUUUGCGUUUGUACUCAUUUGGUCCCUUCCUUUUUUUGUAUUCAAUAUACCAUCGAACUUGUUGUUUGUGUUCACCAUAACCCUUUUGACGGGCUUUUGACCUGUGAUAGUCAGUCAAAGGGUUAUGGUGAACACAAACAACAAGUUCGAUGGUAUAUUGAGUACAAAAAAAGGGAAAUAGACAAAAUGAGAACAAAUGCAACAGUUGGUUACCCUCCUGAUUCAUUUUCCCUUUACUCAUUUACAACAAAUCUCACGUCAUCUCCUACUGAUAUUAAUGACUUUAUGAGAUUCAUUCUUGCUUCUUUUCAAAACAUAACCCACGAAAGAACAUUAUNACGAAAGGACAUUAUUCAUACAUGUACAACUUUGUAAUGCACUUGAAUAUUUAUUAGGGGAAUCUUGACUAAGCAGGCGCAUUUCAUGACUACAUUUACAUUUCCAAUCAAAUGAUUUAUCGUAUCAUAGAUUCUAGACAAGUCUACAAACGAGUGGAAUCACAAGUGCUGUGAUUUUUUAGUUUACUUAGCUUUAAGAUCGAACUCAUGGGAUAAGAUAUAACAUUAAUAUGUACGAUAUCAUGCUGCUUUUGUAGACACAUUACCAUAAUAUUGUACAUAUUUAUAUUGUAUCUUAUCCCAUGAGUCCGAUCUUAAAGCUAAGUAAACUCAAAAAUCAUAGCACUUGUGAUUCCACUCGUUUGUAGACUUGUCUAGAAUCCAUGAUAUGAUAAAUCAUUUGAUUGGAAAUGUAAAUGUAGUGAUGAAAUACGUCUGCUUAGUCAAGAUUUCCCUAAUAAAUAUUCAAGUGCAUUACAAAGUUGUACAUGUAUGAAUAAUGUUCUUUCAUAGGUUAUGUUUUGAAGAUAAGCAAGAAUGAAUCUCAUAAAGUCAUUAAUAUCAGUAAGAGAUGACGUGAGAUUUGUUGUAAAUGAGUAAAGGGAAAAUGAAUCAAGAGGGUAACCAACUAUUGCAUUUGUUCUCAUUUGGUCCCUUUCCUUUUUUUUACUCAAUAUAUCAUCAAACUUGUUGUUUGUGUUCACCAUAACCCUUUGACCAGCUAUCACAGGUCAAAAGCCGAUCAAAAAGGUUAUGGUGAACACAAACAACAAGUUCGAUGGUAUAUUGAAUACAAAAAAAAAAAGACCGAAUGAGUACAAAUGCAAAAGUUAAUUACCCUUAAAAGUCAUUUUUCCUUUUUUGGCUAAGUUUUGUAAAAAAACCUAGGUAGAUUUAUCAUUUUCCAUAAACCUAUCGAUUUAAAAUUCACAUUUAAAACCCACUAAAAUUUGAAAUUUUCAAUUUACACCUUUCAGUAUACGAAACUUAAAACUUUUCACAUUUAAGCCCCACUAAAAGUUGAAAGUUUCAAUUUACACCCUUCAAUAUACGAAACUUAAAAAAGCCCUCAAAAACACGUUCACUUCAUGUAAUCUCAUUCGUAUUCAUCAUAAUUCAAGACUUGGAGCUAGUCAGUUGUUAGUUGGACACUUCUCUUAUUCUUGUAUUGUUCGUCUUUUCUUUUUUCAUAUAUAAAUCCAAUAAUCACUUGCUCUGUUUGUUAAUGUUAUCUCUCGGGACAUUAUUAAUUCUUACAUAUCUUUCAUUUGUUCAAUUUCAUUAUAACUGUUUUAAUUUAAAUUAAUCUAAAAUUAUAUUAUUUCGAAUUUGUCAUUCACCAAAAUCGAGGAUGAUAAAUUUUAUGGUCGACCAACGCGAUGCAUAGAACGAAUUUUUUUACUUUAUAUCCCUACUCAUCAGAACAUCUCUCUCUAUACAUGCUGAUGUAUGUGUGAGGGUGAUAUUAUAUAUGGAAGAAAACUCAAACAAACUAAUACUCUUUCUUAUAAAUUUUGUUUCUUCAUGGAUAAAGAUGUAUCACGGAUCAUGUUUCUGAGAUCUUUUUUGUGAUCAACAUCAAUAUUAAUACUUUCUUUCCUCAAAGCAUGAGCUUCUUUCUCUAAUCUCUUCUUUUCUGUCUCUGCUUGCUGUGCAUUUUCAUCACGUGCUUUCUUAAACAUCUUAGCAAACAGUGCCAAUAUUUGUGUCACUACAUAAACAACAAACCCCANNNNNNNNNNNNNNNNNNNNNNNNNUAUAUAUAUAUAUAUAUAUAAUAAAACUUUAGAUAAAUAAAUGUCAGGAAAGAGAGAGACAUUAACAUGAAAAAAGUAAAGAUCAAACCUUGCUCGAAUGGGCAACGAACAGGAUCUUCUCCAAAAUACUGUGAAAGUGAAUCAGCAUUUCUUCCCUGAAAAGAAAUACUUGUUGGAAUGAGAUGAAUAUAUUUAUUAAAAAAAAAAAGGUUGAAAACUCACCACUUCUGUAUACAAAGAGAUUAAUGCCCGGACUUCGGCUUCAGCAGUAUCAAGAAAAGCCUUCAACGCCUGAAAACAUGGUUGGUUUAAUAAAAUAUUCAUCAGUUAUAAUAAAAUAUAUACAAAAUAGCAACCUAGUUUAUGCUCAUUACCAAUAUAAUAAUCUGUUUUUUUAUCCAUAGUAGCAACAUACUUAAAUUUAUUUACCCAUAAUAAUAAUAAUAUAAUAGCAACAGACUUUUAUUCCGCAAUAUGUAAUUAUUAUGAAACUUGUGGAAUGCUUGCUUAUAAUUAUAAGAUUAUCAGUAAAGAAAUUUAAGUAGGCUGCUAUUUAUUGCAAUUUGUGGAUUAGUUUUUUUUUUUUUUAUGAAUAACUCUGACCUUUUGGAAGCCAGCUGAUAUAGCGCCAUCAUUUUCAGAAGCAGUGAGUUCUUGCUCAACUUUUUCAAGACCUUUACUCACUGCUUGCAUUUCUUCAGCCAAAUUCUUCAAUUGGAUCUUUCAUUUUUGGAAGGGAAAAAUAAAACUCAGCAACAGAUUGAUUAACUAAAAAAAAAAAAUCCCAAACCCUAAGUUUUACAAUAUUGAACUGAAAUACCUUGGAGGCAGUUUCUAGAUGAACAAGAUCCUUGUCAAAAUCUAGCAACUCUGGCAUCUUCUCAGCAAGGAGCUAGUAAAAAUAAACACAAAUUAUAAUUUAUAAUUUGAGUUGAGGUAUGUAUAAUAAAAAUUGUAAGAUGUUUUGAGAUUUGUACCUUGCAUAAAUAAUGCAUUAGUGUCAUCUUGUUGUUUCUUGCACGCGUAUCAGACAAUUUAAGAAGGCUGUCCAAUUUAAAACCUAUGGCGGAUCCUGCAAAACAGAUCAUGCAUGUCUUGUCUUUAUAUCAUGAAACACAAGUUUCUAGAAGAUUCUAGAAGCUACCAGACAUAAUAAAAGCUAUUUGUUUUGAAUGGUACCUCGAGCAGUGCCCUGAUUUAAAGCAUUUCCAAGCGUAAGAAUUGUUUGCAUUAUUUGACGCAACUUUGCAGAUUCCUUAACCUACAUUAUAACAUAUAGUAUUAGGUAAUUAUAAGGAUUUUGAUAGAAACAAAAAAUAAUAAUAAAUAAGAAUAAUGUUGAAAUGUAAGAAUCCUUACCUCAAUAGUAGCAUCAUUGAUUGCACUCAGGUUUCGUCUCAAAUCACUAACCUGGAAAUUUUUAGAAUUAAAUGCAUGAAAAACUAACAAUAAUGUUGAAAAAAAUGGUAAAAAGUCUUAUAUCUACCUGACUGGUAAAAGUAAUUGUGAAUGCAAAUACUCGAAGUUUUGACUCAACCCGUGGGACCUUCAUUAGCUCCAUGAAAAACUACAAACCCAUGACCAUGAAUUAUAAUAAAUUUCUCUCUCAAACACUUUAAAUCCUAGAGAGAGUAAAAAUACCAGUUCACACUUUCCAAGCAUUUCCUUGUUUCCUGUAUAGUUCUGAGAUUACAAGAAUUAUUUAGGACAAAUUAAGUAUUAUAAUAAUAAUAAUGGUAGUAAUUUGAACUUAUGGGAAAAGUAGAGACAGUACCUUUAAUGUCUCCAUUUCUUCUUUUGUGGGACAAAAUUUGAUAAGAUUUUCAACUUGAUCGAUGUCCAAAGCAGAAGCAUCCAAAGCAAGAAUGGCAUUCUAAGAUGGAAAAUGAAGUUUUUAAAUUUGAAGGAAAAGUAGCAUAGCAUGCAUCCUAAGAAGAAAAUGAACUUACAAUCAUAUCUGGGAGAGGAAUCUUUAUUUUGGUAAGCAUGAUUUCACAAUUAUAUGCUCUACGCAAGUCAACCUAAAAAUUAAACGUAAGAAAAUAAAUUGGAAAAACAUAAAAAUUAAUAUAGACAAAAAAUAUUAGAUUAGGAGUAAAUCCAGUAACUAACCAAUUGAACUUUUUCAGGUUUAUUGAUUUUUGAACCUCGUCGAGCACCACCUUUACUGGUACUGUCAGAAACAGAUGCUGCAGAAAAUAGACUCUCAAGCUCUGAUAUAUCAAUUUCAGGAGCCCUAUAAAAUCAAAUAUAAAACUUAUUUUACAUUUCUACUCUGGUUUUAUAUCAGAAACAGAAACUCCUAUUUGAUUUGUGAAUUAUAUACCUUGAUUGGUCUUCUUGUUUUUGAUUAUCAGCCCAUAAACUCCCUUGCAUAGCUCUGGUAACUUUGACCCAAUGCAAGGGCUUUAAAGAGGUCUUCUUAGGAGGAAUUGAAGAACCUGAACCAGCUUUACUUCUUCCACUACUUAAAGAACCAGUAAGACGCCCCCUUCCAGUGGAGGGGGCAGCUUGUUGCAGCCCAUUACCACCCUUUGUUCCGGGAGGUGGAGGUGGCGGUGGACCUGGCCCACCACUACGACCUGGAGGUGGAGGUGGAGGUGGUCCACCACUGCGACCUGGUGGUGGAGGUGGAGGUGGUCCUGGUGGACCUGUGCGACCUGGAGGUGGGGGUGGAGGUGGACCUGGUGGACCUGCACCAUUGCGGCCUGGAGGUGGAGGUGGAGGUGGAGGUGCACCAGGUGGCUUGGUUACUGAAGAAACUGUUCCUUGACGUGGAGCUCCAGGAGGGGGAGGAGGGAGCGGCGGUGGUGGUGGUCCAGGGGUAGCACUGGCUUUAGUAGCCACGCCAAAUGGAGGUGGAGGUGGGGGUGGGGGUGGUGAACUCUUGGAAAAACUAGAAGUAGAAGCGAUGGGAGGUGGUGGUGGUGGUGGAGCACCUCUUGAAGAAACAGGUGGAGGUGGAGGCGGAGGUGGUGGUGGUGGUGGAGCACCUCUUGAAGAAACAGGUGGAGGUGGAGGCGGAGGUGGUGGUGGUGGUGGAGCACCUCUUGAAGAAACAGGUGGAGGUGGAGGCGGAGGUGGUGGUGGUGGUGGAGCACCUCUUGAAGAAACAGGUGGAGGUGGAGGCGGAGGUGGUGGUGGUGGUGGAGCACCUCUUGAAGAAACAGGUGGAGGUGGAGGCGGAGGUGGUGGUGGUGGAGGUGGCAGUGGUGGAAGGGUCUUUGUGGAGAUAGGAGGCAAAGUGGGAGGUGGUGCUAUAGCAUCAUCUAAACUAUCAACAGGAACAUGUUUUGGUGAUGCUAAAGAACCAUUCACAUUACUUAAAUCAGCACUUGUAGGGGUGGAGGUGGAAUCACCUGCAUCUGAUAUCUUAUGCUGCAGCUGCAAUGGAUCCUCCAAUGAUUUCCGAUCAGGUGUGCCAUCCGAAAUAGAAUCUCUAUAUGAAGCUUCAUCAUAAAAGCUCACUGUAGAUGCAGGUGUACACGUCAUAUCAU
Molecule: long non-coding RNA, 46679 nt
Filed under: Lactuca sativa (garden lettuce)
Lineage: Eukaryota; Viridiplantae; Streptophyta; Magnoliopsida; Asterales; Asteraceae
Description: long non-coding RNA (LSAT_LNC002176)
Source: RNAcentral